GAUUAUGGAAUAAGGAGUGGCAAGAGCCUAAUCUUGGGGAUGCCCAAGGCACCCCAAGGUAAAAUUCAAGGACGACCAAAAGCCUAAGCUUGGGGAUGCCCCGGAAGGCAUCCCCUCUUUUCGUCUUCGCCUAUCGGUAACUUUACUUGAGGCUAUAUUUUUAUUCACCACAUGAUAUGUGUUUUGCUUGGAGCAUCUUGUAUGAUUUGAGUCUUUUCUUUUUAGUUUACCACAAUCAUCCUUUCUAUACACACCUUUUGGGAGAGACACACAUGAAUCGGAAUUUAUUAGAAUACUCUAUGUGCUUCACUUAUAUCUUUUGAGCUGGAUAAUUUUGCUCUAGUGCUUCACUUAUAUCUUUUAGAGCACGGUGGUGGUUUUAUUUUAUAGAAAUUAUUGAUCUCUCAUGCUUCACUUAUAUUAUUUGAGAGUCUUCUAGAACAGCAUGGUAAUUUGCUUUGGCUAUAAAAUUAGUCCUAAUAUGAUAGGCAUUCAAGAUGGGUAUGAUAAAAACUUUCAUAUAGAGUGCAUUAAAUACUAUGAUAAAUUUGAUACUUGAUAAUGGUUUUGAGAUAUAAAGGUGGUAAUGUUAGAGUCAUGCUAGUUGGGUAAUUGUGAAAUUGAGAAAUACUUGUGUUAAAGUUGGCAAGUCUCGUAGCAUGCACGUAUGGUGAACGUUGUGUGACAAAUUUGAAGCAUGGGGUGUUCUUUGAGUGCUUUCCUUAUGAGUGGCGGUCGGGGACGAGCGAUGGUCUUUUCCUACCAAUCUAUCCCUCUAGGGGCAUGCGUAGUAGUACUUUGCUUCGAGGGCUAAUAAACUUUUGCAAUAAGUAUAUGAGUUCUUUAUGACUAAUGUGAGUCCAUGGAUCAUACGCACUCUUACAUUUCCGCAAUUUGCUAGCCUCUGCGGUACCGUGCAUUGCCCUUUCUCACCUUGAGAGUUGGUGCAAACUUCGCCGGUGCAUCCAAGCCCCGUGAUACGAUACGCUCUAUCACACAUAAGCCUCCUUAUAUCUUCCUCAAAACAGCCACCAUACCUACCUAUUAUGGCAUUUCCAUAGCCAUUCCGAGAUAUAUUGCCAUGCAACUUUCCACCGUUCCGUUUAUUAUGACACACUCCAUCAUUGUCAUAUUGCUUUGCAUGAUCAUGUAGUUGACAUCGUAUUUGUGGCAAAGCCACUUUCAUAAUUUUUGCAUACACGUCGCUCUUGAUUCAUCGCAUAUCCUGGUACACCGCCGGAGGCAUUCAUAUAGAGUCAUAUUUUUGUUCUAGUAUCGAGUUGUAACAUUGAGUUAUGAGUAAAUAAAAGUGUGAUGAUCAUCAUUAUUAGAGCAUUGUCCCAUGUGAGGGAAGGAAGAAAAAAAAGAGGCCAAAGAAUCCCAAAUAAAAAAAUAGGCCAAAAAAGCCCAAACAAAAAAAAUGAGAGAAAAAGAGAGAAGGGACAAUGUUACUAUUCUUUUUCCACACUUGUGCUUCAAAAUAGCACCAUGAUCUUCAUGAUAGAGAGUCUCUUGUUUUGUCACUUUCAUAUACUAGUGGGAAUUUUUCAUUAUAGAACUUGGCUUGCAUAUUCCAACGAUGGGCUUCCUCAAAUGCCCUAGGUCUUCGUGAGCAACCAAGUUGGAUGCACACCCACUUAGUUUUCAGUUUGAGCUUUCAUACACUUAUAGCUCUAGUGCAUCCGUUGCAUGGCAAUCCCUACUCCUCGCAUUGACAUCAAUUGAUGGGCAUCUCCAUUGCCCGUUGAUUAGCCACGUCAAUGUGAAACUUUCUCCCUUUUUUGUCUUCUCUCAUAAACCCCAUCCUCAUGUGCUAUUCCACCUACAGUGCUAUAUCCAUGGCUUGCGCUCAUGUAUUGCGUAAGGGUUGAAAAGGCUGAAGCGCGUUAAAAAGUAUGAACCAAUUGCUCGGCUUGUCAUCGGGGUUAUGCAUAAUGGGAGCAUUUUGUGUGACGAAAAUGAAGCAUGGCCAAACUAUAUGAUUUUGUAGGGAUGAGCUUUCUUUGGCUAUGUUAUUUUGAUAAGACAUAAUUGCUUGGCUAGUAUGCUUGAAGUAUUACUAUUUUGAUGUCAAUAUUGAACUUAUAUCUUGAAUCUUUUGGAUCUGAACAUUCAUGCCACAAUAAAGGAAUUACAUUGAAAAUUAUGUUAGGUAGCAUUCCACAUCAAAAAUUCUGUUUUUAUCAUUUACCUACUCGAGGACGAGCAGGAAUUAAGCUUGGGGAUGCUUGAUACGUCUCCAAUGUAUCUAUAAUUUUUUAUUAUUCCAUGCUAUUAUAUUAUCUGUUUUGGAUGUUUAAUGGGCUUUAUUAUGCACUUCUAUAUUACUUUUGGGACUAACCUAUUAACCGAAGGCCCAGUGCAAAUUGUUGUUUUUUUGCCUAUUUCAGUGUUUCGCAGAAAAAGAAUAGCAAACGGAAUCCAAACGGAAUGAAACUUUCUCGAGGAUCGUUUUUGGAACAAACGCAAUCCAGGAGACUUGGAGUGGACGUCAAGGAAGCAACGAGGCGGCCACGAGGUAGGGAGGCGCGCCCCCACCCUCGUGGGCCCCUCGUGGAUCCACCGACCUACUUCCUUCGCCUAUAUAUACUCAUAUACCCUGAAAACAUCCAGGAGCACCACGCAACCCUAUUUCCACCGCCGCAACCUUCUGUACCCAUGAGAUCCCAUCUUGGGGCCUUUUUCGGCUCUCCGCCGGAGGGGGAAUCGAUCACGGAGGGCUUCUACAUCAACACCAUGGCCUCUCCGAUGAUGUGUGAGUAGUUUACCACAGACCUUCGGGUCCAUAGUUAUUAGCUAGAUGGCGUCUUCUCUCUCUCUCUCUUUGGAUCUCAAUACAAAGUUCUCCUCGAUUCUCUUGGAGAUCUAUUCGAUGUAAUUCUUUCUGCGGUGUGUUUGUCGAGAUCCGAUGAAUUGUGGGUUUAUGAUCAAGAUUAUCUAUGAACAAUAUUUGAUUCCUCUCUGAAUUCUUAUAUGCAUGAUUUAAUAUCUUUGCAAGUCUCUUCGAAUUAUCAGUUUGGUUUGGCCUACUAGAUUGAUCUUUCUUGCAAUGGGAGAAAUGCUUAGCUUUGGGUUCAAUCUUCCGGUGUCCUUUCCCAGUGACAGCAGGGGCAGCAAGGCACGCAUUGUAUUGUUGCCAUCGAGGAUAAAAAUAUGGGGUUUAUAUCACAUUGCUUGAGUUUAUCCCUCUACAUCAUGUCAUCUUGCCUAAUGCGUUACUCUGUUCUUAUGAACUUAAUACUCUAGAUGCAUGCUGGAUAGCGGUCGAUGUGUGGAGUAAUAGUAGUAGAUGCAGAAUCAUUUCGGUCUACUUGUCACGGAUGUGAUGUCUAUAUACAUGAUCAUGCCUAGAUAUUCUCAUAACUAUGCGCUUUUCUAUCAAUUGCUCGACAGUAAUUUGUUCACCCACCGUAGGAUAUGCUAUCUUGAGAGAAGCCACUAGUGAAACCUGUGGCCCCCGGGUCUAUCUUCCAUCAUAUUAAUCUUCCGUCAAUUAGCUAUUUCCGCCGCCGUUUAUUUUUGUAAUCUUUACUUUUCAAUCUAUACAACAAAAAUACCAAAAAUAUUUAUCUUAUUAUCUUUAUUAGAUCUCACUUUUGCAAGUGCCCGAGAAGGGAUUGACAACCCCUUUAUCGCGUUGGUUGCAAGGUUCUUAUUUGUUUGUGCAGGUACGAGGGACUUGCGUGUAGUCUCCUACUGGAUUGAUAUCUUGGUUCUCAAAAACUAAGGGAAAUACUUACGCUACUUUGUUGCAUCACCCUUUCCUCUUCAAGGAAAAACCAACACAUGCUCAAGAGAUAGCAGUAAUCCUCUCCCAAAACAUGGUCUUGGUUUGAUCCGUCCUGAUCGUUGCAUCCAUGGAGAUGGCACACCAAGUGUCACAAAGCGCAAUCCUUUUGGUUAUAGUUUUGGGUGCGGCUCCUUGAGGCCUUGGUGCUUGCUUCAGUCACCACCACCACCUCCUCCUCGGCCACCACCUCUUGGACCUCGUCCUCGUCCUCCUCCGCAUCUUGGGUGGCCGAAUGACCCCAAAACGAGUCAUAGUUGAGAUCAUUAAGGCCAACGGUGGCCGAGGACUCCAACGACGCAAGGAAUUCAGCCGUGUUCAUCUCCACUCUACAAUGCCAAAGCAAGCACCAUAAACAAUCACUACCGAUAACAAACAAUCACUAUUGAAUACCAACAGGGCGCCAGGUUUUAUUUUUACCUUGUUGGCAUUUCAUCGAGCACUUGGCAGCCGCAUUUUUGUUGCCGGCUACGGCCGCCGCUCGCGCCGAAGCAGUCGCCGUAGGGGCAACCGGAGUUGCCGCACGAGGCGUAGGCUUUGGACGAGGCGCCGCCGCGCUCUUCUUCAUCUUCUUCUUGGCGGCCGCCUCGGCGAGCGCCGACACUGCCGCCAUCGGCUUUCGAGCCCGUUUGCCUCCGGUAUGCGGGAGGGCGGCGUGCCAUUGCCGGAGAGGCGGUGGCCAUCCCGGACACCAUUGGCACGGUUGGAGGUGGAGCUUGGACCCGGUGGUUCUUUGUCAUCCCCAAGCUUUUUUUCGGCACCGGGGGUGGCGCGUGGGUGGGGUGGGGUGGUUGGCUAUCCAUCCCGGCCGGCUCGGAGGUUAUCGGUGGCGACGGCGGGGGCGGGAGGCAGUGUGGCGCAGGGGGCGAGAGGGUUUUUACUCGGCCACCACACGAUGGAGUAUAUUUAUGGAAACUUGAGGGGAAUAGGGAGUUGGAGUAAAAACUAUACUCCAUUAACGUUUUUAGAGGAUCGGCUAGGUCCGUCGUGAGGGAGUAAAUCAAAAAAUUUACUUCCUUGUAACCGUAUUGGGGAUCGGUUAAAAAUGCCCUAAGUACGGAGUGCGCGCUGAAAGAGAAUUACACUGUUUCGGCCAGCGCAAGCAGAGCCUCCCCGAUCGAGACUGAGCACCCAUGUGCUGCCAGCGUUAGUUAUACCAAAGUUUAUAUUCGAUCUGGACAACUGUUCUAGGACAUUGAGAGUGGUCAAAAAACUCUUUCCGUUUUUCGACCAAGGAACAUGCAACAAAAAUGGUCCAAACAGCCAAGUUAAAAAGUAGGAAACCCUUGGGAAACCACUGUAAAGGUUGUCCCAAGAACUCCGAAAACACAAACAUCCAUCUCAUACUCCACAUCAUUUGGAAAAAGAAAAAAAAUCUCGAUCUCCACACACCAUCAUAGUUACAGCGGCAGAUCAACUCAUUACUCAUGCCCAGCCUGAUCAGUAGGAGCCGAGCUGCGUGAUCUUGCCGCCGAGCUGCCUCUGCGCGUAGGCGAAGAGCCGGCCGGCCUCCUCCUUGCCGACGGUACCGUCGCGGUUGGCGUCCGCGGCCUGCACCCCUUCCCGCGCCUUCCAGGACGCGAACCACAGGUUGAGGCUCCGCAGCGCGCGCUGCAGCUCGUCCCGGCUGAUCCGGCCGUCGUGGUCCGCGUCAAACUGCCCCAGCCAGUAGCCACGCCCAGAACUCCUCCGCCGUCACCUCCCCCUGCGGCAGCGCACGGUACCGCAUGAACGCCAUCGACAACCCUCCUCCCGCCGGAGCCGGGCACGAACUGCUAGCCUUGGUCGAGUAGCUGCCCUGGCUGCCGCUUCUCUCUGGGUGAGUGCGAGCGUGAGCUGAUGGUGAUGAGGAUGUUGAGCAGCGAUGCACGGUGCUAUAUAUACGGCGGGGAGCAGAGUUGAGGAACAUUUACCGCACGUUUUUCACAACUCCAUGGACGCGCCUUGUCAGUGUGUUUCAUGGGGUGAUUUGGGGUUUAAGAAAUGAGUGGGUCAGUAGUGGGGAUUUGGCUAGGGAAUAAUCAGCGGGGUAGCUUGAAAGUUCAUUCUUUAGAGAACGGUUAGGCGAGUGGCACAUUGUUAAUCUGGAAAUGUAAGGAGCAAAGGGGUUGUAUAUACGAUCAAAUGUUGAGAAUCGACAUAACACUUGCCAAAAAUACAGGAAGCAUACUUGGACGUUGGCCACACUUUGGGGUUCCCAAUCGAUGGGGCCGGGCACAAACAUCUAAAAAAUAAGAGUUGAACACUUCGACUUGCUUGGCUAAUUCCUUUUCAAUCCUCAAUCGGUAAUGUAAAAGAAAAAGUUUCCCGUCUACGCACUUAUUUUAAGAAAGUACUUGUUACAACACUUCUUUUUAGAAAGUACUUGUUACAACACUUUGUUUUUUGAGAAAGUACUUGUUACAACACUUAAAAGGUUAAUUGAGCAUAUUUUCUUGGAGAAGGACCCGGACAUAGUUUCGUCACAAUUUUUUUUGUUGUUGCGAAAAAUGCCCAUAGAAAGAGGUUGCUUGUUUCCUAGCUAAAUUAUCACGUUUAAGGAUGGGCGUGCCGAAAUUUCAGAUGAGCAUUUGAUUGGUUGUCAUAGUUAUGUGCUACCACACUACACAAAACUUGGCUUUUUGGCGAACUUAUAGCUUUGAACCAACCAUGCCAUAAAAGUAGAAGUGUAGUUGAGCUAUACUACCUUCGUCUGGUUUAUUGGGCCUCCUUGAAUUUUGGCUCAAACUUUCACCUUUGAUUUAACUAUCAAAAAAUAGUAUCAUUGAAAACCUCUUCCGUAUAUGAAUCCAACAAUGUAAGUUUUAUGGCACACAACUUAUAUUUUGUUGGUCAAAUCUACGUUAAAUUUUGACACAAAAUACAACGGGGAUCAAUAAACCCGGAUGAAGAUAGUAGGUGGCACCUGGAGACCAAAUUUUAAAUUUAAUGAUUAGCAGCCUCAAAUAUUUUAGGCAAUCCACUUAUCUCUAGCCAUAAGGCGGCUAAUGAUAGGUUAUGAGAAAUUCAUAGAUAGCUCAAGGAUAGUCUUUCUCUUUUGAAUUAUAUGCAUAAUAAAUAGUACUCCCUAUGUAAACAAAUGUAAGAAGAUAUCAACUACUCUUUACUUUUGUAAGGUAUUUAAGAUAGCUGGAAUUCUAUUUUAGGUGUUGUCUUAAAUGUCUAAAACGUCUUACAAAAAUGAACGGAGGGAGUAACCAAAUAUUUAUGACAACAUGAUAUCAAGAGCUCGUCAAGACAUCGAGUAUGCACACAUGAUCAGUAUUACUCUUGCAUCGCAAGAGAAGCUAGACACAGGAGACAAUUCUCUUUUUUUGUUAGAUAUUGAAAUAUUAAUAUCUCCAUCUUCUGUUUCCAUUUUUUCUUCCAGCAAAACUAGGCUUGCAAUACUCUUGAUUGAGCGUAAACUCCACGCCAACGUUUGUGACAUAGCAUUAGCAUGAGUCAGUUUACUCCGUCGAAUAUUAUCAAUGGUCCUCUAUGAGUUAGAGACGUUGUCAAUAGCUCUGAUACUAAAGACUUGGAUCUGAAUGAAGAGUGCUCGGUUAACUAAAGAUUGUCGUGGUUUCUUAAUUUCAGUUUGUCGUGGUUUCUUAAUUUCAGUCUGGAGUCACAUUAUGCAAGUAUUAGAAUAAAAUGAUAAAAAUUCUUGCAAAGGAUGUGUUUAUUUAUAUUUUAUACAGGAAAUGCACCGACGUAUUUUUCAACACUCAACAGGCAAAAUAUAAGCAAAAUAAUCAACAGAGCUUGGAGAAAAUUACAUCAUCUCUAACAACUCUGCAAAUCUCCACAGAGUUCACAGUGCUGAAAAUACAAAGUAGGAAACCCUUGGGAAACCACUUCAAAGGUUACCCCAAGAACUCCGAAAACAUGAACAUCCAUCUCAUACUCCACAUCAUUCGAAAAAAGAAAAAGAAAAAAUCUCAUACUCCCCACAGCCGCGUGUCCGAAGCUGAUAUGAGUACGUCCCACCAUCACAGUCACAUCAGCAAAUCAUCUCGUGCGCAGCCUGAUCAGUAGGAGCCGAGCUGCGUGAUCUUGCCGCCGAGCUGCCUCUGCGCGUAGGCGAAGAGCCGGCCGGCCUCCUCCUUGCCGACGGUGCCGUCGCGGUUGGCGUCCGCGGCCUGCACCCCUUCCCGCGCCUUCCACGACGCGAACCACAGGUUGAGGCUCCGCAGCGCGCGCUGCAGCUCGUCCCGGCUGAUCCGGCCGUCGUGGUCCGCGUCGAACUGCCCCAGCCACGCCCAGAACUCCUCCGCCGUCACCUCCCCCUGCGGCAGCGCACGGUACCGCAUGAACGCCAUCGAUCCUCCUCCCGCCGGAGCCGGGCACGACGUGCUAGCCUUGGUCGAUUAGCUGCCCUGGCCUACUGCUUGUCUCUGGACUCUGGGCGAGUGUGAGACUGUGAGCGUGAGCUGAUGGCGAUGAGGAUGUUGAGCAGCGAUGCAGGGUGCUAUAUAUACGGCGGGGAGCAGAGUUGAGGCGCAUUUACCGCACGUUUUUCACAACUCCAUGGACGCGCCUUGUCAGUGUACAUGUUUCACUUUGGUGAUUUCGAGUUUAAGAAAUGAGUGGGUCAGUACUCAGUAGUGGGGAUUUGGCUGGGGAAUAAUCAGCGGUGUAGCUUCAAAGUUCGUUCUUUAGAGAACGGUUAGGCGAGUGGCACAUUGUUAACCUGGAAAUGUAGAGCACAAAGGGGUUGUAUGAUCAAAUGUUGAGAAUCGACGGAACACUUGCCAAAAGUAUAGCAAAGCAUACUUGGACGUUGGCUACACUUUUUUGGGAUGCCCAAUUCGGUGGGGCUACAAACAUCUGAAAAAUAAGUUCAACACUUCGACUUGCUUGGCUAAAUCCUUUUCUUCAAUCCUCAAGCGGUAAUGUAAAAGAAAACUUCCUCAGAAAAAAAGAACUAAUGAGACUACGUACUUGUUUUAAGAAAGUACCCCCUCAUAGCUUGCAAAAACGUCAUAUAUUGUAUGUGGUGAAUGUGGUGAAUGUGGUGGCGGCCGAGGCCGAAGCGAUGCACCAGGGUAUUCUAUUUAUACGCGGCCUUGGGUGUGACAAGAUCUUGAUUCAAUCUGACAACUUGAUCGUCGUAGAUGCUUUAAAUAUGAAGGAACGGUAUGCUCUGGUGGCGGCACCAAUUCUUGAGGAUUGUCAUAGCUUGCUUAAAGAUUUUGGGAAGGUCAUUAUCGAACAUUGUAGUAGAGUCGAACAUGGUUGCUCAUGAGUUAGCUAGUUUUGGGAGGGGUAAUCCACCGAUGGUGUGGUCGGAUACACCUCCUUCUUUUAUUCUCAUUGCUUUAGCAAACGAUGUAAGUGUGAUAUGAGUUAAUAAAGCAGCCAUGAAGGCCUUCCCCUCAAAAAGAAACGUCAUAUAUUGUAGGACAGAGGAAGUACUUGCUACAACACUUAAAACCUUAAUUGAUAAUACUCCCUCCAUUUCUAAAUAUAAGCCUUUUUAGAUAUUUUAAUACAGACUACAUACGAAGCAAAAUGAGUGAAUUUAUAGUCUAAAAUAUGUCUAUAUACAUCUAUAUGUGGUAUGUAUUUGAAUAUCUAAAAAGUCUUAUAUUUAGAAACGGAGUGAGUAUUUUCUUGAAGGACAUGGACAUGGUUUUGUGACAAGUUAUAUUUUUGUUGCGACAAAGGCCCAUAGAAAGAGGUUGCUUGUUUCCUAGCUAAAUUAUCACGUGUAAGGAUGGGUGCGCCGAAAUUUCAAGCGAGUGUUUGAUUGGUUGUCAUAGUUAUGUGUUGCCACACUUAACUACUCACAACUUGGCGUUUUGGCAAAGUUAUAGCUUUGAAUCAACCAUGUCACAAAAGCGAGGCGAGCAGCUUGCCUGGGGCCAUGGAUGGUCCUCGGCGAUUUCAACCUAAUCCUUAGAGCUUCGGAGAAAAACAACUUGAAUCUUAACAGGGCCAUGAUGAACAAGUUUAGGAGCUUCGUCGACAAUAACGAACUUAAAGAGCUCUACAUGCAUGGGCGUCAUUUUACGUGGUCGAACGAGAGAGAUGCCCCGACAAUGACUAAAAUCGACAGGAUCCUCGUCUCGGUGGAUUGGGAAUUGGCGCGGCCAGACUACCUAUUGCAAGCACUCUCGACUAGCGUUUCUGAUCAUGCCCCACUCCAUCUUUCGACAAAUGCUACUUACUGGCCGAGGAAAAGAUUUCGAUUUGAGAGCUUUUGGGUCAAGCUAGAGGGCUUUGAGCAGGCGGUGAAGGAUGCAUGGGUUUGCGAUCAGGCCAUCGUGGAUCCUUUCAAGAGACUCGAUGCACUCUUCCGCAACGCAGCGGCAGCACUUCAAGCGUGGGGACAGCGGAAAGUAGGGAAUAUUAAACUUCAGAUGGCGAUUGCCACGACGGUGAUCUAUCGCCUGGAUCAAGCGAUGGAAACUAGAGGGCUCACCGAGUUGGAGACGUGGCUGAGAAGAACCCUUAAGUUAGCACUCCUAGGGCUUGCUUCGCUCGAGCGCACGAUCGAGAGGCAAAGAUCGAGACACAGAUGGCUCCGUGAGGGAGAUGCCAAUACCAAGUUUUUUCAGCUGGUCGCCAACGGGAGGAGAGCAAAGAACUUCAUACCCCAGGUUAGGCGAGGUGAGGAGAUCGCCACUGAUCAGAGCCGCAAGGAGGAAAUUUUCACAAAGGCUUUUCAUAACUUGCUUGGCACGGCACAGGCAAGAGUGCACACGCUAAACCUACAGUCGUUGGGCAUGAACAUGCUAGAUCUGGGCUGUCUGGAUGUGCUGUUCACGAACGAGGAGGUUUGGUCAGUUGUCAAGGAGAUGGCACCGGAUCGGGCUCCUGGACCGGAUGGAUUUACUGUCGAGUUCUACCAAAGAGCCUGGCCUAUUAUCAAGGACGACAUUAUGGCAGCGCUACUCAAACUUUGCGUCGGAGAUGGCCGUGGAUUUGCGAGGUUAAAUCGUGCGCUGAUUGUGCUAAUACCUAAAAAGCCGGAUGCCCUAGAAGUGGGUGAUUAUCGACCGAUCAGUUUGCCACAUAGCUUCUCCAAGUUGUUCGCCAAGCUCCUGGCUAAUCGAAUCCGACCGUGCAUGAAGGACCUUGUGGCCACCAACCAGUCGGCUUUCAUCCGUGACAGAAAUCUGCAUGACAACUAUCUGUUAGUGAGGCAAGUGGCCAGGAAAAUACACGCCAGAAAGAACAAAGGUGUUUUUCUCAAGUUAGAUAUCUCCCGUGCCUUUGACUCCUUGUCUUGGCCUUUCUUAUUUGAAGUGCUCUGGGCCAAGGGAUUUGGAAAUCGAUGUCUCGGAUGGUUGGCGGCGCUACUGCAAUCCUCGAGCACCAGAGUGUUGGUGAACGGAGUACCGGGAAGGAGAAUUUGGCAUGCAAAAGGACUGCGACAAGGGGACCCGGUCUCUCCUCUACUUUUCGUUAUCGCCAUGGACGCCCUCACGGCCAUGAUCUCCAAAGCCAUGUCUGAUGGUGUGUUGAGCUCCUUCACUGGAAUUACAGCGACGCAGCGCCUAUCCAUAUAUGCGGACGAUGUGGCACUAUUCGUCAAACCUACACCCCAUGAUCUCCUAUUUGUCUGAAUCGCGCUGCAACUAUUUGGAGAUGCUUUGGGUCUGAGAGUAAACUACAGGAAAUCUUCGGCUAUCUUGAUCUCUUAGGAUCAGGAAGACAAAGCAAGAGUCGAGCAGAUACUGCAGUGCCCCAUUGGAGAAUUCCCGUGCAAGUAUCUUGGGCUGCAGCUGGCCAUCAAGCACCUCACCAAGGCGCACUGGCAGCCUCUCUUGGAUCAAGUUCGGCACUGCCUCCCGGCUUGGCAGAGAGGCUUAUUGCAGAGAUCAAGUCGGCUCGUGCUUGUCAAGUCGGUGCUUCAGGCGAGACCAGUGCAUCAGUUGCUCGUAAUGAAGGCCUCAGGCUGGGUUUUGGAGGACGUCGAUGGCUGGAUGCGCGCGUUUUUCUGGGCAGGAAAAGAUCGAGUUAACGGAGGCCAAUGCCUAGUGACAUGGAGUUCAAUCUGCAAGCCAACCUGUUUCGGUGGUCUUGGGGUGAAAAACCUAAGUCUGCAAGGGCUGGCACUUAGGGUGCAUUGGGAAUGGUUGCGGCGCACGGACCCGCAAAGGCCGUGGCAUGGAUUGGAGCUUAUGGUGGACGACGAUGCUAGACAGGUCUUUGAUAGUUUGAUUCAGAUCACGGUGGGCAAAGGAAAUAAGGUACUUUUCUGGAGAGAUAGAUGGAUCCACGGCUUCUCUGUCAGAGAUAUUGCGCCCACGCUGGUGGCUGGUGUGGAUACGAGGAUCAGGAACUCCCGUACGGUCGCUCAGGCCUUGGAAGAUGAGAGAUGGGCACUCGAUGUCCAACCACAGACUUCUUUUGGGGCACUUCUACAAACUGUCCACCUGAGACACGCGGUCGCCACUGUUCAACGAGAUGUGCACAUGGAGGAUGCCUUUGCUUGGCCGCAUGACCCGGCAUGUAUACAGCGAGAUCCACCUAUGACAAACUUAAUCAGGGCGCGAUCAGAUCACCUACUACUGCCGCGAUUUGGCGUAGCUGGGCACCACUAAAGUGCAAGAUCUUUGCUUGGCUCGCCGUGCAGCACCGGCUUUGGACAUCUGACAGACGGACGCGACAUGGGCUGCAGGACAACACCUCGCCUUGCUACACUUGCUUGCAGGAGGAGGAUACAGUUGAGCACAUUGUGGUGUAGUGUGUUUACGCUCGCCAGAUGUGGCACACGUGUUUCAACUCCCUACAAAUCAAUGUCCUUCCUCCCAAUGACACGGACACACUUGUGGAGUGGUGGCUUAGGGCUCGCUCUGGUUUCCAAGGGAAACACAAGCGAGGUUUUGACUCGGUUGUCAUCGGCGCGGCUUGGAUGCUGUGGAAGCAAAGGAAGGCCAAGGUGUUCAAUCGGCCGGAGCAAGUUAAAGACUAUAGUGAGCUAGCUAGAGCCAUCCUUGAUGAAAUCCGCGAGUGGUAUAAUGCAGGUGUGGGUGCGGGUGGAUUAGACCGUUUUGUGAGAGAUCACACUUGAUUUUCUUGUAAGUGGGUGUGAGUGGGUGCUCGGGCGAUGGAUGUUCGCAUCGAUCGCACGAAUCUUGUAAACUGUCUUUCUCCCUUCUAUAAAGAUAAGGUACGCUAUUGGCGUACUCUCGAAAGAAAAAAGCUAGAAGCCUAAUUGAGCUAUAGGCGGCAGCUGGAGACCAAACUUUAAAUUUAAUGAUUAGCAGCCUCAAAUAUUCUAGGCAAUCCACUUAUCUCAGCCCUAAGGCGGCUAAUGAUAGGUUAUGAAAAAUUCAUAGCUCAUGUCUUCCCUGAGAAGAUAGUCUUUAUCUUCUGAAUUAUAUGAUAUAUAAUAAAAAGUACUAAUAUGUAAGUAUCAAGAAGACACCAACUAACCAAAUAUUUACGAAGAGCUCGUCAACAUCGAUGAUGCAUACAUGAUUAGUAUUACUCUUGCAUCGCAAGAGAAGCUAGACAAGGGAGACAUUAUCCGUUUUUGAUAGAUAUUGAAAUAUUAAUAUCUCCAUCUUCUGUUUCCAUUUCGUGAGUGGCCAAAAUUUUCUGAGUAUUGCCGCAAAAAAUAAUCCUGAGUAUUGUUCUUACAAUUUCAGGAAACAAAGGAAGAAAAAAAAACGUUCCUGUAGGCCAUCUGGUUCAGCUCUUCCUGAAACCACUUAGUCCCAACUUAAUCUUCAGCACAUAUUUCGACCACAGGUUGUCCCUGGGAGGCUGGGACUAAUAUUGCAUGGUCAUCGUUAUCUGCGCUUUGUUUUUCGGUGAAUCUAUAUAUGCUUUUCCUUUAAGCCCUCGUCUACAAAAUAUUCACUGGCCUAGUGGUGGUAGGACAAUAUCUUACGUUAUCAGGGAGAAUGAUGGGAGGAGUAGUCUAAGAAAAGUGAUUGUACCAAUCUAUCAGAAGCCUCAAAACACCAAGAUUCUUUGUUCGAAAAAACGCAAAAAAAAAAAACCCAUUGAGUAACGAAGAAUCGUAUUCUUUUGGUAGGCUUUCCGAGGCAUUCGUGGAUCGGCGAUUGCAGCGCAAAGUGUCAUGGUAUAGGAUGUGAUGGGUGCCUGGCUAGCUAGGCCAUAUCGCCAGAAUGAUAAACACAUGCAGUAUAAUUCAGUAACUUACUUAUUCGUCGCUUGCCUAAAAAACUAUUCGUCGCUGUAAAGAUAAGCAUUUAUCCUUGUACCAACAGAGCAAGAAAAUUGUCAUGGUAGACUAAUUCACUUACCUUACUCGUCGCUGUAAAGAUAAGGAUUUAUCCUUGUACUACAUAACAAGUAAGAAAACCGUGGUGGUAGACUGAUGUGACAAAACUUGGGUGCUGGGUGGCAUUUGAAAUUUCAGAAACUGAACUGAAGAUUUUACUUUACUUAAGCUACGAGGGUUCCUCUGUUGUUCGUCAAAAGACAAAAUGGGUCAAAUGACACGAUUUGGCACCCCACUAAAGAACACAUCUGUCAGCUUAGUGCAUUUGAAGAUCUCAUUAAAAAGACAAAGCAUAAAAACCUUUGUUGAAUAACAUGAAAUCCUCCUUAAAACUUCAGAGUUGUAUAUACCUAUGUACUUAUCUGGUCAUCUAAGUACGGAGUACGCGCUGAAAGAGAAUUACACUGUUUCAGCCAGGGCAAGCAGAGCCUCCCCGAACGAGACUGACUGACUGAGCAGUGACCACCCAUGUGCUGCCAGCGUUAGUUAUACCAAAGUUUAUAUUCAAUCUGGACAACUGUUGUGGGACAUGCAGAGUGGUCAAAAAUCUCUUUCCGUCUUUCCAGCAAAGAACAUGCAACAAAAUGCUCCAAGCAGCUAAGUCAAAAAGGCUCUGCCUGCAGAGCCUAAUUUCCAGGCUUGGAUGUUCCUGAAGAAUUCGUUUUUUCUAAAGUAGAUACGGUACCUGGCAUACUCCAUUGGAAACUCGGUGGAAAACACGGUUAGAAAAAAGAUAUAGAAGGAACUAGAGCUCGAGAAAAAUGCUCGCAAGUUUCUGUAACUUCGGCAUAGAGAGUGGGCUGUUUCCGAGGAAACCGGACAGUCAGAGUAGUAGUACUCCAUAAGACGAUCUCAAAGGUCAAAAAAGUUGUUGUGCAUCGAAUAAUUUAGCCUUUCCAACAAAGAAAUGAGUGAGCAAGGACCGAAUGAGUUUUACAGAUUCUUAAAUUAGCGAAAUUAUCUUCAAGAUCAUGUCGUGAAAAGACAAAAGAGAUACGGAAGUGCCGUCGCUGGACAAAUAAUCCUCAUCUGAACCAGUAAGCAACACCUAUGAUAGCACAUGGUGAAGUAGAACCACAACACUGAACAUAAAUGCUGAGUCAAAGAUAUGAAAGAAACAUCCCAGGUACCAAGAGCACAUUAAUAAUGAAUAACACCCGCAAAAAAAAUAAUGAAUAGACCACAAAGUUAUUUAUGGAACAGUGAUAAUAACAGUGAAACGCUAAGCAGCAGCAUAGGUUCAAAAGAAAAAAAAAAUGGUUCUCCUGAUAGUUAGCUUAGGUCAUAUUAGACAUAAAUAAACUUACAAGGCAAUAAUAAUGCAGUCCCUUCCCUAUAUUGUUAGCACACCUUAACAGCUUUGCUAGAACCUAUGCCAACUCCCUUCUAACAUACACCAGUAAAAUAUACAUAGGAUAUGUACAUCCUCUUGCCAAAAGGCAUAAAAAGAAACAUCUAAUAAGUCAAAUAUUGAGGGAACUUACAUAGCUGAAAAGCUUGCUCAUAAUCGGUAUUUAACAUAUUGCCUCCAUUAUAUACAAAAACUCUUCUUUGCAGCAAACACAAACUAUAGCCUUGAACGGCGGAGGUACUUGAUGGGAUUGAACGGACCCAGCUGCCGUGCAGAAGCCAGCGUUGGUCGUCCAUUUGGAGACACUGUUGGCUUGAUGUCCCAUCCUUCAACAUUUUUAGGAACACAGACAUCAAACAUAAUUUGGCCAAGGACUCCUUGAGGCUCCAUCCUGGCUGGAUAGGGUAGUGACCGUUUCUGCUCCUCAACAAGAGAAUCUGGUUCCCUAGAAUCAUGAUGGUCCUUUGAACUUGGCAAGAAGAAAUGGUCGCUGGGACUGUUGGCUACCCUUCUCAGGCUCUCAUUUGAAUUGGCGGCCACAUUGUGUAGAUUGCACACACAGUGCGCUAUCUUGUACUCCUGAUCCCAUGCAGCACUGGUGCCCUUCAGCUGGCUUCUGUGGCAGAAGGUGACAAGAGCUUUCUUCAGUAUAUCAUCUACAGCAGUUCUGUAUUCCGCUUCAUGCAACUUGUAAUGGCCUGCAGGAUAUAUAUAAAAAAUUGGUUGUGAAUGAAAUCUGCAAUGAUGACUCCCAGCAGAGAAGAUAUCAAGGAUUUAAAUGAUGGAACUUAACAUAAAUAACCAAAUAUGUAGCUUUGUAAUAUUAAACUCUGAGAUAAUAUUGUAUUCGCCCUCAUGACAAGGAGUAUAAACAUUCAAUCAAAUAGUCAGAUCAAACACUUGAGCUUAGUAUUGUCUUCUUCGAUAAAUUAGAAAUUCUAAAAUGGAUGGAAAAUAUUGUUAGGCAAGAUGAUGCAAAUGCUUGAUCCAUUGUCUUCUACUGUCAUCUAGGUCUCUAAGACCUAAGCGUAUAGACAUGAAGUUGUUUUCAUAUCUGUCAGACAAUCUCUGCAAUUAACAAAUCCAAAUAUGAUAUUAAUGAAGGUCUUGGAAUGGAAACCGCCAUGACAAUAAUUGUGCAAAUACAUGUUUCUACUAGUAAUAUAUUUCACAUUUUAAGUUAGUACUCGGUAAUCCUAUCUAAUAAAACCAGACACUGAAGAUAAAAUGAAGGCGUACCAACAUGAGGGGAAUCACUCCACUUGAUUACUUUAACAUCUGUGCCUAGCUCGACCAAACGCCUGGCGAAACCACAGACAACAUGGCAUGGAGCAAGAUCAUCGCCUUCCGAGCAAAAUAUAAGAACUGAACCCAACCCCUGGAUGAACAGUUAAAAGUUAAUUGGUGUGGCUAGUGAAGAUGAUCUGCAAAAAUCACAAAGGCAAACCAGACUUACUGCUGAUGAGUAUAGCGUGUGCCAAUAUUCUGCACGCUGAGCUUCAAUUCUGCUUGGGAAGAGAGUAUCCAUUCCAGAUGCCAAAGCCUUUGCCAUCAAGGAACGUAGCAUGGAUGGUUGAGCUGAAGCGCCAAUCACAGGAUUUUGAAGAAACUGUGUGCCCACAUCGCUCAAAAAAUCCACUGGACCAGAGUCAUAAAUUUGGCCAGAGAUACAGUUUCUAACUAACCGAUAGUCCUUCUACAUAAUGGAAAAUUUACAUCAAUAAUGUUUAAGAUGUUUGCCAACAAAUCCUCAGCUGAUAAUAUGCUAAGUCAAAACAUGAUGAAAAUGGCAAAGAAAAUGAGGACUUAAACAUAGAAUGAUGAUGAGAGACUUCCAAGUAUGUUCAAGAGAUCGAAUAUAUGCAGCUGAAAACAUGCCUAGUCAGAACAUAAUGACAACAUAAUGACAAUGUCGUAGAAAACAACUUCAACAGAAUGAGCAAAUUGCUACACAGUACAUGCAAAUGGAAGAAAACAAAACCUAGUAUAUGCACUUCACAAUUGACAUAGAUAUGGUUUUUAAAUAGGUUCCCAUUAUCCUUGCAACAAAGAGAAAUGUAUAUGUAAACUUCAGGAGAAGAGAAAGGAUAGAAAAAACAUACCACCGUUGCAUCUCCUUCACAUCUUCCGUCUAGUAACUGCGAAACCAAUCAAGUUUAGUCAUUUAAACUGUGAAAGGGGAUAGGCAAAUAGAUGAUAUGUACGAUGAGGUGGCAAAAAGGAAGAACUGAACAAGCAUGCACCUGAAUAACCUUGUACAUGCAUCCCUUUGAGCCACCAGAAAAAGAAGCAAGCACAGUUGGCAAUGGCUUUACUUUCAAUUCCUGAAACGCCAGCAUUUCACAUAGUUAAAAGCAAAAAUUAUAAAAAUAAUUAACUGCAACCAAGUGGAAAGAUAGUAAACAGAAGUCCCAUUCCACGAGAGCUUAUAUGCAUUCUUCUAAACAAUACAGAAAGUUUAUAAUAUGUCAAUAUGCAAAUAUUUCAGACUCUAAACCAGCAAGAAGAUUAUGUAGAGGUUGCCGCUUGGACACAAAGUAUAAAAUAAAUGGAAAGGGGUGAAGGGUCAAACUCUAACUUCAUGCGUUCUGCCAGGGGUUCUUACAUCUAUACAUUUUUUGUAUAUAAAUCAUUUGGAUGAUUAAGGAGCAAAAAGAGAAAGUCACAUGUGUAUCACUCCCUCCUUCUCAAAAUGUUGGGCGUAUUAGGUAUUAGCACGAAAAUUAACCCAUUGAUUCUUACGUGAGCCAUCGCACAGAGGUAACUGAAAGAAAACGGUGGAGCAUGCACGAUCUCCUUUGUCCCACUCUUUGUUGACCGAUCCAAUCUCAAACGAUGAAAGGUAACCGCACUAGAUGCUCGUACGUGCUUUCUUUUUUUCCACAAAAGUAGCUAAUCGUUGGUGAGGCUGUAACUGUGCGUCCUAUAUUAUGGAAUUGCAUGCAGAAUUUAAUACGCCCAAGAUUUUGGGAAGCAGGGAGUACAAAAUAGUGUCAGUGCUGGAGUAGGCUAAAUACAACAUGAUCAUUGACUAAAACAACAAGUAACAUAGUUACUUACUCCCUCCGACCGGAAAUACUUGUCGAAGAAAUGGAUGUAUAUAUACAUUUCUCCGACAAGUAUUUCCGGGCGGAGGGAGUAUUAUUUUCUUCAUUUGAACAAUAGAGUUGUUAAUGCUUACUAUACAACAUGGUAUUUGUGGAGUACAACAACCAAGAAAAAAAGAUGUACCUUUGCCAGCUCACUAAUAACACCACAUGCCAAUGUUGCUGCUUUCUCAGAGAGAUACCUGGAAGAAGAAAAGAAUCAGUAUAGCGCCAUUAGGUGUAAAUAGGAACCUAACGGUGCAGACUGCAGAAGACCCCAUAUGCAAGUUUACACCAUAGCCCUUCAAGUAUAAGAUAAGUAGAUAACUGAAGCACGAUGCAAGGAACUCCAUUGCUAGUGACCUAGUGUUACAAUGGUACUCACUCAAGUGUCAUUUUAGGUGAAAUACCCUGCUGAAUGAAGCCUAUAGCUCUACCAGCAACAGAUGAUGCUGAUGAAGACCCUCUACCUCCAGCAACAUCUGAUUUGAUGCACUUAAUUUGCUAAUGCUAUUCAAUAAAAUUACUCUGAGGUCUCUACACAAACUACAUAAAUGACUACCAAGCUUGCAGAUGCACAAACUGUGUUCAGGCAACAAAACUCUGGAUGGAUGUACCAAACAUUCUUAACAUAUUGAAGCAAUCCAUAUGUUAUUUUAGCUCCUUUUGCUAGUUCAACAUACUAGUAGUUUCAGAAGGUUCAAUAUUCUUGUGUUUCAUUUUACUUACUACUAAAAUUGAUACCUUCAAUUUUUCGCAUCCUCAAUUGCACAAAAAUCCAAGUACCACAAUGCAAAACCUUCCAUUAUCCUCCAAUAAAUAUAGCUUUACCAAAUCUCAAAGCCUAACCAAACCCCAAACACACAAGAUCGCUAAGACGCUAACCGCUCGCAUGCUGCAGGUACGUAGGUAUAUUUACCAAAAAGCGCACAAAGCGACAAGAUAAACCAUGCAAAAUAUAGAAGAGUAUAAAUUGCACAGUUACAGAGAUUCUCAAACUAAGAGAACUAGUAACAUGCAGUGAUGAAUCGAGUGACCGAUCGAACACUGCCCAUCAACUAAUCGAACUCCAGAGAAAUUUUCAUAACAAGCUAAACCUGAAGGAUAAAGCCUCGUCCCCAAUGAUUCGGGUAGACACAAAAUGAGCGACCAAUCUCAAAUCAAGCCUAACCGCAGCUACGAAAUCAAUGACCAAUCCCAGAAUCUCUAAAAUUAAACCUAACCGCAGCUACAGCAUCAGUGACCAAUCUCAGAAUCUCUAAAAUUAAACUUAACCGCAGCUAUGAUUACACUCCAUGAGGCCGCAGAGCUACAGGCGGCCACUUCUACGAGCCCGGACGUGCAACAGAUCUCCCGAAUUUAACGGCUAGCACAAGCAACAAGUGGAAAGGAGCGAGGGAGGGAGGAUGGGGGAAGCAGCGCCACUCACAGCGAUACGAGGUCGGGGUGGCAGACGAGGCAGCGCCAGCCGAGCGAGGCGUAGAGCUCGACGAACGGCCGCAGCUGCGCCUCGUCGCUCCACACCCACGCGAACACGACCACGACGCCCCGCGCCCCCGACGGCGGCGCGGGCGCCCAGUAGAAGCGGCCGCCGCAGCCGGGCCACAUGGCCACCAGCCGCCGCUCCUCCCACCCUCCCUCGCCGGACGGACCUAGGCGGCGAAUCGGGGCGGCGGCAGGUGGGCGAGGGAGGGUUUGCGCUGCUGUCUCGCUGGGAAGGGGGACUAGCGGAGACGGGACGGGAACAGAAGAGGGAGAUGGAGAUGGCGGAUCGGAAGGGAGGAGAUGGGUCGCUUUGGCGUUUGGUUCGUCGCGGAUUUGUUUAUUUCUUUCUUUCUGUGUUUCCGUGAGCUUCUGCGCCUCCUUUUUUGCGGUUUCCGCACGAGUACGGGAUUGGGUUUCUCGUCAGCGCAUUUAUUAAAGAAAUGAUUUUUGUGGUGAUGGGUCAAAGCUAUCCUACGCGGCUCGUAGGAUAAAGAUGAGGAAUGCGUACGUACCCCGUGCACGUAUAGAAAUACAAUUCAAUAAUGUUUCAUGUAGGAGGGCCUGUCAAAAAAAAAGAUUCUCAAAAAAAGAGUAGGAGGGCCUGUUUGAAUGGGGUCAUGGGGGCUAUAUUUUCAGAGAUUUUUCAUGUCUAGUUUUUUCUUUAAAAAUGCUAGUACAUAUGUCCGUGCAUUGCAACGAAAGAAAAUGGUAAACACGAACAUGAAUCGGUCAACUACAUCCUUUGCAUGGAGCCAAGGCCGCUAUAAUUACUCUAUUAUGUGUUACCAACAGGCUACUCACAUAACAUGAAAAGAACCAUUUUUGAGUCAAAUUAAGGGUUGGUCGUCUAGGCAUGGAUGAGAAUCAAGGUAGAUAUUCUUGUCAAAUUUGUAGAGGAUCUGCUUGUAGUUGAAGAAAAUGAGCGAGUUGGCCUUGGAGGUGUCAAUGAUCAGGGACGGAGCCAGUAAACAUAUUAAAGAGGGACCAAUGGAAGAGAUAAAAUGUUAAGGGAGGAGCAAACAUACAAAUUUAGAACACUUUGAACUAACAAUCUAAGGUUGUUUCAGAAAAUAGAUUGCCAUGGGGCAGCCAUGGCCCUAGCUCGCCCCCAUGCUUCGUCACUGCCAAUGAUCCGCUCGUACAUGGCCUUUCAUAAGUCGGUGUGGCCAGUCCUUUGAGGCAGGACGCUAUAACUAAUCCACAUAGCAUUCCUGGUUAACCGUCACUUCUAGUCAAUGUUUUAAAUAGCGGGCUAUGGAAAAUAACGGCGGGCCUACAAAUCAGCUAUAGCAGGCUAUUUAUGAAGGCGACCAUUUAGCAGCACCCUGUUGAAAAGGCUAUAGCGGAGCUAUAGUUGGCUAUUUAAAACUAUGCUCCUAGUUUGCUCGUCGACGCAACUCCUGACUGUGGCGCUCAUGUCAUUCAUGUUGGCUCUGUAGAAGUGCAUGCUCUAGCCAAUGCAACCAAAAGACCGAUCUGAUGGAAGAGACUAGGCAGCACAUUGUACGUCAACACUCCCCCUCACGUGUGGCUCUCUCGGGCCUAAACGUGGACCGAAAGUGGGCUGCAAUAUAAUUGCGCCAGCCGGGUCUUGAACUCAAGACCUCUUGGCUCUGAUAUCAUAUAGAAAUGCAUGCUCUAGCCAAUGCAAUCAAAAAACCAAAAAACCAGCGUGAAUAUUUAAGAACAUAGUGCAACGUCGGAUUUAUAAUAUUUUUUGAACCUUUUAAAAAAUAUGAAUUGCCGAAUAUUCUUGGAAACAUGAACAUUUUUUUAAUUACGAACAAUGCUUUUAAUAUUCCAUCCAUUUUGGAAAAAAUAUGAACAAAAUUUGAAACAACAUCAUUCUCUGAAGACAUGAAACUUUUAUCAAAACCCAAUUAUUUUUUAAUUUUUCACCGACUUUUGAAAAAAAACAUGUUUUAAACAUUCAGAAUAAUUUUAUAAAAUGAGUUUUUAAACGCAGACAUUAUUUUGAAUCUGUGAAUAUUUUACUAAAAUAAUAAUAUAUUUUAAAUUUCGAAUAAUUUUUAAAUACAUGUUUUUAAAUCCCAAACAAUUUUGGAAUAUUUAUGAAUUUGAAAGAAAAAUUGAAAUGAGAAAAUAAAUUAAUGUUCCAAGCAUCUUUAAAAAAGGGGAAGACAAUAUUGUAAUUCGAACAUUUUUCGAAAAUUUGACAAAAAAAUAAAUUCUGAACCUUUUUGAAAAAUUUGAAUUACAAAAUAAUGUAAACAAAUUAUUGGACAGAAAAACAAAAUGGGUCGGCCCAGUCUUGGAUGCCCUGUGCAAACUCCGACUAUUUGUAGCACCGGGCGGGAAAUAAGCUUUUUCAGCUACAUUGGCAGGCAAAUAAGUGGGCUGGAUUCGCUGGGCCAUGGCAUGUGCGGGGCAAGUACGAAAUUUCUAGAUUGCUAAAAAAACAGACGGACGCACAAAAAUUUAGUACCACCUAGAGAUAGAAAAAUAAUUUUCGACGGUGAACGACUGAAAAAAUCGGAGAAACGCACAUUGCUUUAUUAGUAGGUGCACAUAUGCCCGUGCGCUGCAACGGGAGAGUUAAUUGGUGUGUCCAUCGAAAUAACCAUCAACACGGCGGAAGAACAUCCGAAUGGUGCCAACAUAAAUUCAUGUAAGUAGUACUACAUUAAGAAGCAUGUUACAGAUACAAUACUUUUGAUAUGGUUUUCAUAUGACGAUUAAAGAGCCUCAUACCACGACAUUAUUUUUAUGUUGAAAGAAUGUUUGAAAUUUGCACCGUGAAAAGAUCUUUAAAAAGGGUUUUCUUAAACGCGUUUUACACCAUCUCUUCAUAUAUAACGCAUUUUGCAAGAUAAUAUCAUAUAGAAUCUAUAUAUUUUGAGCGAUUUUCACAUAUAACAUAUUAAAUUUGGAGUUAUCGUUUAAAAGAUAUGAUAAUUUCAACAAAUACUGGAAUCUGCAUAAAAUAAAAAAAGGUAAAAAAAAGUAGCUGGGCCAAGAUAAUAUCAUACUAUAGAUAUUCGUGGAGAAAAGGCAGCAAAAAAGAGUAAGAACCUGGGAUCAAACCCAGCUCUCCCAGAUAGGAGAGCAACACCCUAGCCAGUAGGCUGCUUGUGUAGUUGUGAUAAUGUCAGGGCCUAGCCAGUGGCGGAGCUACCCAGAAAUUGUUGGGCGGGCCAAGGAAGCCCAACCUGAAGAAAACGCAGAUUUUUUCUCUCAACAAGGCCCAGUUUUCCAUAUACUCUUCAGUGUUUGGACCAUGGGCUGGACGGGCCAUGGCCCAUCGGUCCUUGGUGUAGCUCCGCCAGUGGGCCUAGCUGUAAAUGAUCCUAAUGCAACCGGCGGUCACCUAAUAAAAAAGAAUUAUUUUUGUCACUUACGGGUGGCAUUGGUGGGUAAUUUCUAUCAACUUUAGGGGUAAUUUUCGUGACGUACGACCAGAAGCAGUAGACACUUUAUUAUUAGGGAAAAAUAGAUUGGAGUUGCUUUUUUGCACUUCCAUGAGGACAUCUAGUUAGGCAGUCAGAGCCUGCCUCACAUCACUGGCAUUUGUUCAUCCGUAGAUCCAAACAUCACAGAUGGUUGUUUGACGCUGCAUGGGUACAAUUGACAUCACCGCCCCCUGCACUAGUCCGCAUGGUCGAGGUCGCUGAUGCCUUCCAGAAUCCAGGAGGAUUUGGGAAUGAUGUUGUCGACACUUUUAGUGAGUGGAACUAUGUUGUCGUGUGUAUGAGCAAUAUUAUUCCAGUCCAUGACUAGGCUAUUCUCCGGGACAGGCCAAUCAAUACUAAUUGCUAGGCCAACGAGAAAGCCGCCAAACCAAACAAGGCAUAUACUAAUUGCUCUAGGCUUAAGUAGUAGAGCAAUUUAUUGUUUCCACGAGGGCUAUACCUCGCUUUUUGUCACACGUACCAUGGCUAUAUAUGGGAAAUAAGGAGUUGACCUAUUACUUCAUUGAAGAAGCUUGACGUUGUUUUGUGUGAUAAGGACAUGAUUGGUCCCGAGGAACUUUCGUCUCCCCUUUAGUUAUAUCAGUGUGCUUAGAAGUUUAUGUAAUGUACUUGUCUAAACAAAACUUUGUUUUAUGUAGGAUAAAAUUGAAAACAAUUUUUUUAUUGCUCGACUGACACUUGUGAUUAUCCACUCUUUGGUUAAACUAUUGUGAAGAUUGUUGGGAUAUCAGCUGAUGGUCAUACCAUGGAGGUGCUCAUGAGUGUUGGUGUUGAUAUGUUUGUGCCCAAGGGGAUUAAGAUUCUCGGGUCUAUGAUUCACGAGGUCAUCAAAGAAGAAGAACACCAUGGGCUAGUGCAAUCUAACUUGCUUUUGCGAUGGAGGAAAUAAUGUUGAACUCAUUGAUCUAUAUUUUCUUUAGUAUGCCUUGACGUGUUGUUUUGUCUAAUUGAGAUUAUCCAUGACUCGAUGGAAUUGAAAUAAUACUUGAUCUACAAUAUUUUUUAAAGGCCUCAAUGGAAUAAAUGGCAUCCAUAUUUCUCCCUUUUCACUUUGAUGAACAAAUAUAAAAAACAAUAGAUGCAUAUUUUUUGGAGUUUAAUCGGGUGUGUGUUUUGCCUUAUGCAUUAGACACAAGUGUGAGUUGCUUGAGAUUUUCUAAACAAAUUUAGAGUUCAUAUUUAAGAUGGUACUCCAAAAUAGUUCCUUGCAUUUAUAAACCUCCAUAAAUAAUCAAUGUAAUAUAUGUAAUUCAUUUCUUAUGUAAUGAUAUUCUCCCGCUUGUUCAUUCAUAACCAUUAUCUUGUUAAAAUAUAGAUACAUAAUAUUCCUUGUUUAAUAUUAAAUAUUGGUCAAAGACAGGUGGUAGAGACCAUGUACUUGGCCUCCGUGAUAUGUAUCAUAAAGUUAAUUAUGAGCUAACAAAAAAGUAGAAAUAGUUUAGAACAUCUCACGCAAAUUAGAAAGAUCUCACCGUCACCUUCACGACCCUUAAUUAAGAAAUCAUUUCCAGUGGGCACAGUAUGAUAUAAUACAAUCUAUUAUAUAGUCAUGCUCCUCGGUGAUUUCAACAGAGAGCCUCACGGUCCACAUACGCCACUCAGUUCAAUCCCUUAUGCCCCGCGCCAUCGACCACAAUAACCUCUCCUCUUCAACCCAUCAAUGUCCCAUGCCCAAAGUUGCUGCCAUGGUAGUAAACUGGGAAGGUGAAAUGUUCAAGACAAUGAAUGUUGUUUUGGUGAAGUUUAUAUUGAAACCAGUGGUGGUAGAGAAGUUGUCAAGUAUUUCCUUAACGUUGGAUGCAACAUUAUCAUCGGCCAUAGCAAUGAUCAAUAUAUCAUAUGCGCGCGUGUUGCAGAACGAGGCAAUUAAGGGACGGGUUUAGUGGGUGAGAGAGCAACCAAGUGUUUUCAUGCAUGCAUGAUCAUGCAUUGUAGUAUGUUAGCAACAAUUGCAAAUAGAGACUUAGACUACUACGUGUUUUUCUUUCCCCUCUCGCAAGGCAACUAGGGAAAAGCCUUUCUCCCCUCGAUCUUUGUCGGCGAGCUAGUGGAUUUGCCUCCCCUCUGGUUGUUGCUCCAACAGCUGGUGGCAGGGAGGGGAAUCCUGGCGCCCUCAGCUCAGUCUAGUAGAUAGGUAGGAUUUUAGUUCUCCAAAGGGUCGCGUUGGGCUGGAUCCUGGAUGGCGAGCUUCUUCUUUGAGCCAGUCUUCCAGGAUUUGAUCCUUCUCAAGUUUGUCCAUCGGGGACGGAUUAGAUAGAUCCUCGAUGUAGAUUUAUGUGAGCAUUAACAUCAGCAGCAGCAGCAGCAGAGUAGAGAAAAUGUGGUGAUACGUCUCCAACGUAUCUAUAAUUUAUGAAGUAUUCAUGCUAUUUUAUUAUCAUUCUUGGAUGUUUUACAAUCAUUUUAUAGCAACUUUAUAUCAUUUUUUGGGACUAACCUAUUGACCCAGUGAGGGAGUUCUGGAUUAGGGGGUCCCCGGGCGUCCGGGCUAUGUGACGUGGGCCGGACUGGUGGGCCGUGAAGAUACAAGAUAAAAGGCUUUCCCCCGUGUCCGGAUGGGACUCUCCUUUGCGUGGAUGGCAAGCUUGGUGUUCGGAUAUGAAGAUUCCUUUCUCUGUAAACUGACUCUGUAUAACCCUAGGCCCCUCCGGUGUCUAUAUAAACCGGAGCGUUUAGUCCGUAGAGGCAAUCACAAUCAUACAGGCUAGACAUCUAGGGUUUAGCCAUUACGAUCUCGAGGUAGAUCAACUCUUGUAACCCCUAUACUCAUCAAAGUCUAUCAAUCAGGAAGUAGGGUAUUACUUCCAUUAAGAGAGCCCGAACCUGGGUAAACAUCGUGUCCCCUGCCUCCUGUUACCUUCGAUCCUCAGACGCACAGUUCCGGACCCCCUACCCGAGAUCGACCGGUUUUGACACCGACAUUGGUGCUUUCAUUGAGAGUUCCUCUGUGCUGUCGACAGAAGGAUCGAUGGCUCGUUCGAUCAUCCACAACGAUGCCGUCUCGAGGGAGACUUUCCUCCCCGGCCAAAUUUUCAUAUUCGGCGGCUUCGCACUGCGUGCCAACUCGACUGGCCACCUUGAGCAGAUCAACAACUACGCCCCUGGUCAUCAGAUCAGUUUUGGAAAUCUGAACUAUGUCGCUGAUAUCCGAGGAGACUUGAUCUUCGGAGGGUUCGCGACCCUGACCGCCGCUCUGGCCUUAGAUCCAGAGCAGACUACCAGGUCCGAAGACAAAUCCCAGUCUCGAUUCGUGCCAACCCAACAGACACUUUCGGAGAUACCUGUAGUGCACCUUUAUAGUCACCCAGUUACGUUGUGAUGUUUGGUACACCCAAAGCAUUCCUACGGUAUCCGGGAGUUGCACAAUCUCAUGGUCUAAGGAAAUGAUACUUGACAUUAGAAAAGCUCUAGCAAAACGAACUACACGAUCUUGUGCUAUGCUUAGGAUUGGGUCUUGUCCAUCACAUCAUUCUCCUAAUGAUGUGAUCCCGUUAUCAAUCACAUCCAAUGUCCAUGGUCAGGAAACUAUAACCAUCUAUUGAUCAACGAGCUAGUCAACUAGAGGCUUACUAGGGACAUGUUGUGGUCUAUGUAUUCACACAUGUAUUACGGUUUCCAGUUAAUACAAUUAUAGCAUGAACAAUAGACAAUUAUCAUGAACAAGGAAAUAUAAUAAUAACCAUUUUAUUAUUGCCUCUAGGGCAUAUUUCCAACAGUCUCCCACUUGCACUAGAGUUAAUAAUCUAGUUCACAUCACCAUGUGAUUAACACUCAAAGUUCACAUCGCCAUGUGACUAAUACCCAAGAGUUUACUAGAGUCAAUAAUCUAGUUCACAUCACCAUGUGAUUAACACUCAAUGAGUUUUAGGGUUUGAUCAUGUUAUGCUUACGAGAGAGGUUUUUGUCAACGGGUCUGAACCUUUCAGAUCCGUGUGUGCUUUACAAAUCUCUAUGUCAUCUUGUAGAUGCAGCUACCACGCGCUACUUGGAGCUAUUCCAAAUAACUGCUCUACUAUACGAAUCCGGUUUACUACUCAGAGUCAUCCGGAUUAGUGUCAAAGUUUGCAUCGACGUAACCCUUUACGACAAACUCUUUUACCACCUCCAUAAUCGAGAAAAUUCCUUAGUCCACUAGAUACUAAGGACAAGUUUGACCGCCGUCAUGUGAUCCAUUCCCGGAUCACUAUUGUACCCCUUGACUAACUCAUGGCAAGGCACACUUCAGGUGCGGUACACAGCAUAGCAUAUUGUAGAGCCUACGUCUAAAGCAUAGGGGACGGCCUUCGUCCUUUCUCUCUCUUCUGCCAUGGUCAGGUCUUGAGUCUUACUCAAUACUCACACCUUGUAACACAGCCAAGAACUCCUUCUUUGCUGAUCUAUUUUGAACUCCUUCAAAAUCUGGUCAUGGUAUGUAUUCAUUUGAAAGUACUAUUAAGCGUUUUUAUCUAUCCUUAUGGAUCUUGAUGCUCAAUGUUCAAGUAGCUUAAUCCAGGUUUUCCAUUGAAAAACACUUUUCAAAUAACCCUGUAUGCUUUCCAGAAAUUCUACAUCAUUUCUGAUCAAAAUAUGUCAACAACAUAUACUCAUCAGAAAUUCUAUAGUGCUCCCACUCACUUCUUUGGAAAUACAAGUUUCUCAUGAACUUUGUAUAAACCCAAAAUCUUUGAUCAUCUCAUCAAAGCGUUCAUUCCAACUCCGAGAUGCUUACUCCAAUCCUUAGAAGGAUUGCUGGAGCUUUGCAUACUUGUUAGCAUCUUUCAGGAUUGACAAAACCUUCUGGUUGUAUCACAUACAACCUUUCCUCAAGAAAAUCAUCGAGGAAACAAUGUUUUGACAUCCUAUCUGCAAGAUUUCAUAAAUAAUGCAGUAACUGCUAAUAUAAUUCUAACAGACUCUUAGCAUCGCUACGAGUGAGAAAGUCUCAUCGCAGUCAACUCCUUGAACUUGCCGGAAAACAUCUUAACGACAAGUCGAGCUUUCUUAAUGGUGACACUUACCAUCAUUGUCUGUCUUCCCUUUAAAAUCCAUCUGUACCCAACAGCCUUACGACCAUCAAGUAGUUCUUUCAAAGUCUAUACUUUGUUUUCAUACAUGGAUCCUCUCUCAGGUUUUAUGGCCUCGAGCCAUUCGUCGGAAUCCGGGCCCACCAUCGCUUCUCCAUAGCUCGUAGGUUCAUUGUUGUAUAGCAACAUGACUUCCAAGACAGGAUCACGUACCACUCUGAAGUAGCAUGCAUCCUUGUCGUCCUAUGAGGUUUGGUAGUGACUUGAUCCGAAGUUUCAUGAUACUAUCAUAAGCUUCCACUUCAAUUGGUAUAGGUGCCACAGGAACAACUUCCUGUGCCCUGCUACACAUUAGUUGAAGUGACGGUUCAAUAACCUCAUCAAAUCUCCACCAUCCUCCCACUCAAUUCUUUCGAGAGAAACUUUUCCUCGAGAAAGGACCUGUUUCUAGAAACAAUCACUUUUGCUUCCAGAUCUGAAAUAGGAGGUAUACCCAACUGUUUUGGGUAUUCUAUGAAGAUGCAUUUAUCCGCUUUGGAUUCGAGCUUAUCAGCCUGAAACUUUUUCACAUAAGCGUCGCAGCCCCAAACUUUUAAGAGACGACAGCUUAGGUUUCUCUGAACCAUAGUUCAUACGGUGUCGUCUCAACGGAAUUGCGUGGUGCCCUAUUUAAAGUGAAUGCGGUUGUCUCUAAUGCCUAACCCAUAAACGAUAGUUGUAAUUCGAUAAGAGACAUCAUGGUAUGCACCAUAUCCAAUAGGGUGCAGUUAUGAUGUUCGAACACACCAUCACAAUAUGGUGUUCCAGGUGGUAUUAGUCAUGAAAUAAUUUCCACAAUUUCUUAAUUGUGUGCCAAACUCGUAACUCAGAUAUCUCUAUGAUCAUAUCAUAGACAUUUUAUCCUCUUGUCACGACGAUCUUCAACUUCACUAUGAAAUUACUUGAACCUUUCAAUAAUUCAGACUUGUGUUUCAUCAAGUAAAUAUUCUCAGCAUCUACUCAAAUCAUCUGUGAAGUAAGAACAUAACGAUAUCCACUGCAUGCCUCAACACUCAUUGGACUUGCACACAUCAAAUGUGUUACUUCUAGCAAGUUGCUCUCUUGUUCCAUCUCACUGAAAACGAGGCCUUUCAGUCAUCUUGCCCAUGUGGUAUGAUUUGCAUGUCUCAAGUGAUUUAAAAUCAAGUGAGUCCAAAUGAUCCAUCUGUAUGGAGUUUCUUCAUGCGCAUACACCAAUAGACAUGGUUCGCAUGUCUCAAUCUUUUCAAAAACGAGUGAGUCCAAAGAUCCAUCAACAUGGAGCUUCUUCAUGCGAUUUAUACCAAUAUGACUCAAAUGGAAAUGCCACAAGUAUGUGGUACUAUCAUUACUAUCUUAUAUCUUUUGGCAUGGACAUGUGUAUCACUACGAUCAAGAUUCAAUAAACCAUUCACUUUAGGUGCAAGACCAUUGAAGGUAUUAUUCAAAUAGACAGAGUAACCAUUAUUCUCCUUUAAUGAAUAACCGUAUUGCGAUAAACAUAAUCCAAUCAUGUCUAUGCUCAACGCAAACACCAAAUAACAAUUAUUCAGGUUUAACCCUAAUCUCGAUGGUAGAGGGAGAAUGUGAUGCUUGAUCACAUCAACCUUGGAAACACUUCCAACACAUAUCGUCAUCUCACCUUUAGCUAGUCUUCGUUUAUUCUGCAGCUUUUAUUUCGAGUUACUAACACUUAGCAACCGAACCGGUAUCUAAUACCCUGGUGCUACUAGGAGUACUAGUAAAGUACACAUUAAUAUAAUGUAUAUCCAAUAUACUUCUGUCGACCUUACCAGCCUUCUCAUCUACGAAGUAUCUAGGGUAGUUCUGCUUCAGUGACCGUUCCCCUCAUUUCAGAAGUACUUAGUCUCGGGUUUGGGUUCAACCUUGGGUUUCUUCACUAGAGCAGCAACUGAUUUGCCGUUUCAUGAAGUAUCCCUUCUUGCCCUUGCCCUUCUAGAAACUAGUGGUUUUACUAACCAUCAAAAAUUAAUGCUCCUACUUGAUUUCUACUUUCGCGGUGUCAAACAUCGCGACUUGCUCAAGGAUCAUCAUGUCUAUCCCUGAUAUGUUAUAGUUCAUCACGAAGCUCUAAUAGCUUGGUGGCAGUGACUAUGGAGAACCAUCACUAUCUCAUCUGGAAGAUUAACUCCCACUCAAUUCAAGUGAUUGUAGUACUCAGACAAUCUGAGCACAUGCUCAACGAUUGAGCUUUUCUCCCUUAGUUUGCAGGAUUAAGAAACUUGUCAGAGGUCUCAUACCUCUUGACGUGGGCACUAGUCUGAAAUCCCAAUUUCAGUCUUUGGAACAUCUCAUAUGUUCUGCGACGUUUCAAAACCGUCUUUGGUGCCACAAUUUUAAACCGUUCAACAUUACGCACUGAACUAUCACGUAGUCAUCAAAACGUGUAUGUCAGAUGUUCGCAACAUCCACAAACGACGCUCGAGGUUCAGCACACCGAGCGGUGCAUUAAGGACAUAAGCCUUCUGUGCAGCAGUGAGGACAAUCCUCAGUUUACGAACCCAGUCCGCAUAAUUGCUACUAUCAACUUUCAACUAAAUUUUCUCUAGGAACAUAUCUUAGUAGAACUAAAGCGUAAGCUACGACAUUAUUUGCAAAGACCUUUUGACUAUGUUCAUGAUAAUUAAGUUCAUCUGAUUAUUUAAUGAACUCCCACUCAGAUAGACAUCCCUCUAGUCAUCUAAGUGAUACAUGAUCCGAGUCAAACUAGGCCGUGUCCGAUCAUCAUGUGAGACGGACUAGUCAUCAUCGGUGAACAUCUCCAUGUUGACCGCAUCUUACUAUACGACUCAUGUUCGACCUUUCGGUCUCUUGUGUUCCGAGGCCAUGUCUGUACAUGCUAGGCUCGUCAAGUCAGCCUAAGUGUUCUGCUUGUGUUCUGAGGCCAUGUCUGUACAUGCUAGGCUCGUCAACACCCGUUGUAUGCGAACGUUAGAAUCUAUCACACCCGAUCAUCACGUGGUGCUUCGAAACAACGAACCUUCGCAACGAUGCACAGUUAGGGGGAACACAUCUCUUGAAAUUUUAGUGAGGGAUCAUCUUAUUUAUGCUACCGUCGUUCUAAGCAAAUAAGAUGUAAACAUGACAAACAUCACAUGCAAAUCAUAAAGUGACAUGAUAUGGCCAAUAUCAUCUCGCGCCUUUUGAUCUCCAUCUUCGAGGCGCGGCAUGAUCACCUUCGUCACCGGCAUGACACCAUGAUCUCCAUCAUCGUGUCUUCAUGAAGUUGUCUCGCCAACUAUUACUUCUACUACUAUGGCUAACGGUUAGCAAUAAAGUAAAGUAAUUACAUGGCGUUUUUCAUUGACACACAUGUCAUACAAUAAAUUAAGACAACUCCUAUGGCUCCUGCCGGUUGUCAUACUCAUCGACAUGCAAGUCGUGAUUCCUAUUACAAGAACAUGAUCAAUCUCAUACAUCACAUAUAUCAUUCAUCACAUCCUUUUGGCCAUAUCACAUCACAUAGCAUACCCUGCAAAAACAAGUUAGACGUCCUCUAAUUGUUGUUGCAUGUUUUACGUGGCUGCUAUGGGUUUCUAGCAAGAACGUUUCUUACCUACGCAAAAGCCACAACGGUGAUAUGCCAAUUGCUAUUUACCCUUCAUAAGGACCCUCUUCAUCGAAUCUGAUCAGACUAAAGUGGGAGAGACAGACACCCGCUAGCCACCUUAUGCAUCAAGUGCAUGUCAGUCGGUGGAACCCGUCUCACGUAAGAGUACGUGUAAGGUCGGUCCGGGCCGCUUCAUCCCACAAUGCCGCCGAAUCAAGAUAAGACUAGUAACGGUAAGCAAAUUGAACAAAUCAUCGCCCACAACUACUUUGUGUUCUACUCGUGCAUAGAAUCUACGCAUAGACCUGGCUCAUGAUGCCACUGUUUGUGAACGUAGCAGUAAUUCAAAAUUUUCUACGCAUCACCAAGAUCAAUCUAUGGAGUCAUCUAGCAACGAGAGAGAGGAGUGCAUCUACAUACCCUUGUAGAUCGCGAGCGGAAGCGUUCAAGUGAACGGGGUUGAUGGAGUUGUACUCGUCGUGAUCCAAAUCACCGAUGAUCCUAGCGCCGAACGGACGGCACCUCCGCGUUCAACACACGUACGGAGCAGCGAUGUCUCCUCCUUCUUGAUCCAGCAAGGGGGAAGGAGAGGUUGAUGGAGAUCCAACAGCAUGACGGCGUGGUGGUGGAAGUAGCGGGGAUCUCGGCAGGGCUUCGCCAAGCUCAGCGAGAGGGAGAGGUGUCACGGGAGGGAGAGGGAGGCGCCAGGGGCUGUGGUGUGGCUGCCCUCCCUCCCCUCCACUAUAUAUAGGGGCCCUGGGGGGGGGCGCCGGCUUGCCCCCGAAGCCAAGUGGGCGCCCCACCCCUAGGGUUUCCAACCCUAGGCGCAGGGGAAGGCCCAAGGGGGGGGCACCAGCCCACUAGGGGCUGGUUCCCUUCCCACUUCAGCCCAUGGGGCCCUCCGGGAUAGGUGGCCCCACCCGGUGGACCCCCGGGACCCUUCCGGUGGUCCCGGUAUAAUACCGGUGACCCCCGAAACUUUCCCGGUGGCCGAAACUGGACUUCCUAUAUAUAAUUCUUCACCUCUGGACCAUUCCGGAACUCCUCGUGACGUCCGGGAUCUCAUCCGGGACUCCGAACAACUUUCGGAUUUCCGCAUACUAAUAUCUCUACAACCCUAGCGUCACCGAACCUUAAGUGUGUAGACCCUAUGGGUUCGGGAGACAUGCAGACAUGACCGAGACGACUCUCCGGUCAAUAACCAAUAGCGGGAUCUGGAUACCCAUGUUGGCUCCCACAUGUUCCAUGAUGAUCUCAUCGGAUGAACCACGAUGUCGAGGAUUCAAUCAAUCCCGUAUAGAAUUCCCUUUGUCAAUCGGUAUGUUACUUGCCCGAGAUUCGAUCGUCGGUAUCCCAAUACCUCGUUCAAUAUCGUUACCGACAAGUCACUUUACUCGUACCGUAAUGCAUGAUCCCAUGGCUAACUCCUUAGUCACAUUGAGCUCAUUAUGAUGAUGCAUUACCGAGUGGGCCUAGAGAUACCUCUCCGUCAUACGGAGUGACAAAUCCCAGUCUCGAUUCGUGCCAACCCAACAGACACUUUCGGAGAUACCUGUAGUGCACCUAUAUAGUCACCCAGUUAUGUUGUGACGUUUGGUACACCCAAAGCAUUCCUACGGUAUCCGGGAGUUGCACAAUCUCAUGGUCUAAGGAAAUGAUACUUGACAUUAGAAAAGCUCUAGCAAAACGAACUACACGAUCUUGUGCUAUGCUUAGGAUUGGGUCUUGUCCAUCACAUCAUUCUCCUAAUGAUGUGAUCCCGUUAUCAAUGACAUCCAAUGUCCAUGGUCAGGAAACUAUAACCAUCUAUUUAUCAACGAGCUAGUCAACUAGAGGCUUACUAGGGACAUGUUGUGGUCUAUGUAUUCACACAUGUAUUACGGUUUCCAGUUAAUACAAUUAUAACAUGAACAAUAGACAAUUAUCAUGAACAAGGAAAUAUAAUAAUAACCAUUUUAUUAUUGCCUCUAGGGCAUAUUUCCAACAAAAUUCACAAAUAUUCCAAAACCCUUCGGGGUUACCCUAGAUCGGAAGUUUCGCCGCCGCAAGGCUCUGUAGCCACCGAAAACCAAUCUAGACCCCGUUCCGGCACCCUGCCGGAGGGGGGAAUCAUCUCUGGUGGCCAUCUUCAUCAUCCCGGCGACCACCACGAUGAGGAGGGAGUAGUCCACCCUCGGGGCUGAGGGUUUGUACCAGUAGCUAUGUGUUUAAUCUCUCUCUCUCUCGUGUUCUUGAGAUGCCACGAUCUUGAUGUAUCACGGGCUUUGUUAAUAUAGUCGGAUCAUAUGGUGUUUUCCCCUCUCACUACUAGAAAAAGGGCUAUAGAUGGGAUUGACACUAAUGGCGCACCAGACAAGCGGUGCGCCAUUAGUAUAUACUAAUGGCGCACCACCUUCUGAUACGCCAUUAGAGUUGAAACUACUAAUGGCGCACCUGGCCCAGGGUGCGCCAUUAGUAUCAAAUUUUUUUUAACUAGUGCGCCUGUCCAAACAUACUAAUGGCGCAUCCAGACACAGUGCGCCAUUACUAGUUGUAACUAGUAAUGGCGCACCUGGCCCAGGGUGCGCCAUUAGUAUCAAAUUUUUUUUUAACUAGUGCGCCUGUCCAAACAUACUAAUGGCGCAUCCAGACACAGUGCGCCAUUACUAGUUGUAACUAGUAAUGGCGCACCUGCCGGAAAGUGCGCCACUAAUGUUGUUUUUUCUAUUAUAUUUUUUAUUCCUUUUUUUGCAAAACUACCAAUGGCGCACUUUUCCACCGUGCGCCAUUACUAGUUUAAACUAGUAAUGGCGCACUGUGGAACAGUGCGCCAUUAGUAUGUUUUUUUUGCAAAACUACUAAUGGCGCACCACCAGAAGGUGCGCCAUUAGUAACCUGGAUUACUAAUGGCGCAUUUAGAGUUGGUGCGCCAUUAGUAAGUGGGCAGCAACAAGAUAUUUUGUACAGCCUCUCCUACCCACACUCACUUUCUCCCCACUUCAUUCUCUCCACCUCCUCCUUGUCUCGGGUGCCUCCUCUUUUUCACCUCAUUUCCACCAUAGAUUCAUUCAAUUUAAGUGGUUAAAUUACCUUGUUUUGAUAGGUAAGUAAGGGGGGAAGCUAUAUUUAUGUUGUUCUCCCUACAACAAUGUGCACAUGCACUUUUUUUAUGGCCUAGCUAGAUCUAUGUAUGUUCGUGGUGUUGCAUAUGUUUGUGGUGUUGCAUAUGUGUUUGUGUUUGGAGGUGUACCGGUAUUUGAAAUGCGAUAGUUGCCAAUAUUUUGCCGGAAUGUUGAUUCAUUUCCGUUUCGGCGAGAAUUUUGGCAUUAAGCAUUCUUUUUGGUCCUAUUUUUAGGGAAAGUCAUGCCAAAUUUUUUCUUGGUUCUAAAAUAUCGUUUUGCUCUACCCCGCAGGCGACCAUGGUCCGCAUGAUGACCGAAGGCAUCGUGAAUAGGUUUUUGAGGUCCGCGAAGGCCGAGAUGCUUCAAAAGAACGAGACGGAGAUAAGAUGUCCGUGUCGAAGAUGCAAGCUGAAGAGCCUUAUUGCGGACCCGGAAUCCGGGCAGGUGUGGGACCACCUGCUCUUGCGUGGUUUCAUGGAUGGCUAUCGGUGGCAAGGUGAUGAAGAUGACUACGAAGUCGUCCAUGGGGGCCGGGCAAGAAAUGAGGAAGGGCAGCAAGACAACCACCGCGGCUCGGGCGGGUGAGAAGACGAAGAAUCCCCAGGAGAUGAUCACGACGGUGAUGCUGUACACAGUCAUCAUGUAGAAGAUGCAGGACAUGAUGAUGAGGAAGAUGCCGGAGCAGACGACGGGCAUGAUCAUGAAGAUGAUGAUGCCGACGGAGCAGACGACGCUGGACCGUCAAUGGGCUGGGUGCAGGACCCUCAUAUUCAAGAGCUGCUUCUCAAGAAGACGGAUAACGCAAGAGCUGCCGCCCGAGAGAAAGCCAAGAUGGAUCAACUUGAGUUAGACGCGGUUACUCCAUUGUAUGAAGGAUGGAGGCCCGAGGAUACCCGCCUGAAAGUAACGCUCAUGGCUCUGGAGAUGAAGGUAAAACACAAAAUGACCGACGCAUGCUUCGACGAGAACAUGUCAUUCUGGCACGAACGUCUUCCCAAGGGGAACAAGUGCCCGACCAGUUUGGAGGAGGCGAAGAAAAUCGUGUGUCCUCUGGAUUUACCGCACGUGAAAUACCAUGUGUGCAUGAACAAUUGCAUCAUUUAUCGGGACGAGCACGCGGAGUCUACCAUAUGUCCGGUGUGCGGCGUCACUCGAUACAAGAAGAGGAAGAAAGCUCCUCGAAAAGUGGUGUGGUACUUUCCGAUCACUCCUCGUCUGCAGCGGUAUUUCGCGGACCCUAAGGUAGCAAAGCUCCUGCGUUGGCACGCGGAUAGGGAGGAGAAGAAGCGAGAAGAUGACGCAAAUGAUCCGGAGAUAGAUAAAAAAGACAAGAUGCUGAGUCACCCUAAGGAUGCGAGCCAGUGGCAAGCGUUGAACUUCGAAGACCUAGAAUUUGGGAACGAUCGAAGGAACAUCGUGCUGGGCGCGAGCACCGAUGGAGUCAAUCCAUUUGGAAGCCAGAGAAGCACACAUAGCACCUGGCCUGUGUUUGUGUGGAUGUACAACCUUCCCCCUGGUUGUGCAUGAAGAGGAAGUACAUUCACAUGAGUAUGCUAAUUGAAGGACCGAAACAACCAGGGAACGACAUCAAUCUGUAUCUGGGGCUGCUGAAAGAGGAGCUUGACACGCUGUGGAAAAUGCCAGCCAAUACGUGGGACGCCGCAGAGAAAGAAUAUUUCCCUAUGAGAGCCGCGCUGCUCACGACGGUGCACGACUAUCUCGGUUACGGAUAUGUCGCGGGGCAGGUGGUCCACGGAUUUUCUGGAUGCGUCAGGUGCAUGGAUGACACAACGUAUCGCCAGCUAGAUAGAGAUCCCGGGUCUUUGAAAACCGUGUUCAUGGGACAUCGAAGGUGGCUUCGCGACGAUGACCCGUGGAGAAAACGCAAGGAUCUAUUCGAUGGUGAAACCAAACCCCGAGGACACCCGCGUACGAGGAGCGGCGAGGAAAUAGACGAGCUGUUGAAAAAUUGGAAAGACUGCCCACUGCCGGGAAAGAAGCAAAAGGCGCCAGAGCCGGGAAAGAAGCGAAAGGCGCCAGAGCCGCUGCUGAAGGUAUGGAAAACGAGGUCUGUUUUCUGGGACUUGCCAUACUGGAAGAUCCACCGUGUGCCUCACAGCCUUGAUGUCAUGCAUAUCACGAAGAACGUGUGUGAGAGUCUGCUUGGUACCCUGCUCAACAUGCCAGAGAGGACCAAAGAUGGGCCGAAAGCAAGGGCAGACUUGAAAUCAAUGGGCAUCAGGCAGGAGCUUCACGCUAUAUAUGAUGAUGAUGAUGAUGAUGAUGAUGAGGCGAAGCAGGACACGGAAAGUCGUCGCAAAGGCAAAAAGGCCAAGAAGACCGGAAAUGACUACCCUCCCGCGUGCUUCACUCUAAGUCAGGAGGAGAUCGAGCAGUUUUUCACCUGCCUCGUAGGAGUAAAACUUCCUUACGGUUACGCGGGGAAGAUAAGCAGAUACCUAGACCUAGCGAAGCUGAAGUUCAGCGGGAUGAAGUCUCACGACUGUCACGUGCUGAUGACGCAGAUACUUCCAGUUGCAAUCCGUGGGAUCAUGGACGCGCACGUCCGUGAAACGCUAUUUGGCCUAUGCAACUUUUUCGACGUCAUCUCUCGGAAGUCUGUUGGCGUGAGGCAACUCAGAAGGCUACAGGAAGAGAUCGUGGUGAUACUAUGCGAGCUUGAGAUGUACUUCCCGCCCGCAUUCUUCGACGUUAUGGUGCAUCUGCUGGUCCAUAUCGUGGACGAUAUCAUCCAACUCGGGCCGACGUUCGUGCACAGCAUGAUGCCGUUCGAAAGGAUGAAUGGUGUCAUCAAAGGAUACGUUCGCAACAUGUCACGUCCAGAGGGAAGCAUAGCCAGGGGCUUUCUGACCGAAGAGUGCAUCUCCUACUGCACGAAUUAUCUAGGCAUCGAGAACCCCGUUGGUCUGCCCGUCAACAGGCACCUCGGCAGGCUCGCUGGAUGGGGUCACCGUGAGGGUCGCCGCGAAAUGCAUGUCGACUUCGAGGGUCGACUCGCCGACUUUGAAAGAGCAAACCUAGUCGCGCUACAACACAUAGACGUGGUCGAUCCUUGGGUGGUAGAGCACAAAACCUUUAUUAAGAAGACGUACAAUGACCGAGGCCAACAGAGGACGGACGGAGAUAUACUCAAAGAGCACAACUCAUGUUUCACGCGUUGGUUCAAGCAGAAGCUUCUGUCGUACCCUUUACAUGAGGAUUCUUCCGCGGAAGAACAACUCAUAUUCACCUUGUCACAGGGCGCCGAGCACAACCUGAUGACCUAUGAGGCGUACGAUAUCAACGGCUACACAUUCUACACCGAGGCCAAGGACAUGAAGAGCGAUGGUUAUCAGAACUCCGGGGUAACGAUGGAAUCCUACACCGGUAACGACAAGGACAGAUACUACGGAAGGAUCGAGGAGAUCUAGGAGCUGAGCUACGCUGGAGAGAAGGUCCCGAUGUUCCGUGUCAGAUGGGCCAAGAGCGUCCUAAAAGAAGACCGGUAUUUCACCAGCAUGGUUAUACCCGAAGCUAAAUCCAAGACCGCAGGUGCAAACGUCACCGCGAAAAAUGAGCCAUGGGUACUGGCUUCCCAAGUGGACCAAUGCUUCUUCAUUACCGACCCGUCAAAGCCCAGUCGUGUUGUCGUGAGGAGAGGCAAAAGGAAGAUCAUCGGAAUGGAUGGAGUAGCCAAUGAGCAAGACUUCGACAAGUACGGCGACCCGAGAAUCGAACAUGACGACGAUGAUGAAGUAGUAGCAUACACCACAAGAAGAAGCAGGACCACCCUACCUAAAGGACGUCCGUUCCACAGAAGAACUCCAUUUGCGAAAAAGAAGGGCAAGAAGAUUGUGAACAGAUAGCUAGCUAAGAUCGAUUAUAUUUAAAUCAUAGCCUUCAUUUCUCGAUUGUAUUUCAUGGACACUUUUUGAACUAUCAUGAAUAUUUUUAAAUUUCAUGGACACUCGAUCUCGAUCCCCCUCCUUCUCGAUCGCUAUCCCACCUCGCCAGAUCCGGUCCCCCUCGCCGCCGAGCACUCCCCGGUCCACCGGCCCCCCGCACCCCGCGCACCCUCCCCCGCUCCACCGGCAUUACUGUUUGAUGAUAUUUAAAAAAAAAUUAUUACUGUCUUAUAAAAAAAUAUUACUGUUAUGAUUUAAAAAAGUUUGAACAUAUUUAAACACAAAUAAAUAUCAAACAGCAUUUUAAAUGCAUAAAAAAAUUGUGGAGCCUGGGAAUCGAACCCAGGACCUCCUGGUGUGAGAACUGGCUGCUGACCAGUCGAGCUAGUAGAGGGAACUUGGUGUGGAUCAGGUCAGGUGGAAGAUAACCUGUUGGCUCGAGCAGAAAUCAAAAAAAAAUACUAAUGGUGCGCCAUUAGUAUGGAUGUACCUGUUGGAAGAUAACCUAUCCCCUCUCUCUCCCUCGCCCUCGCCCUCGAUCCCCUUCCCCUCUCCUCUCCCGACGCCGCUGCCCCGCCACCUCGACGCCGCCCCGUCGUCCUCGUCUCUGCCCCGACGCCGCUGCCCCUUCCCCUCUCCUCUCCCGAUGCCGCUGCCCCGACCUCCUCCUCGCCCCUCGACGUCGCCCUCGAUCCCCUUCCCCUCUCCUCUCCCGACGCCGCCGCCCCGUCGUCCUCGUCCUGCUCCUCGUCCGCGCCACCGCCGCGCCGCUCCGACCUCCUCCUUGUCCCCUCCGGCCUCCUCCGCCUCCUCAGGUACUGCCCCCACCUCUCCCUCCCCCUCCGGCCUCCUCCUUCCCCUUUGUAAAUUUUAGGGUGUAGGGUUUGCAAAUAAUCAAUCUUCUGUAUGUUCUACACGGUUCCAGUCUGAAACUACUCGGUGUAUGUAAGCACCUAGCAUGUACAUGUGAACUCAUGAAUUUUACACGAAGUUUCUGUUUGUGCUUGUUUGGAAUUCCUUUGAGAAACAAUGAGAGUUCACUAACUGAAUGGAUUAUAUCGGCUUGUAAUUUGUCUGUAACAUCAUGGCCCUUGGGCCAGUUUGAGUAAUAUAUAUAGGUGGCAGUGGCGUAGAUUGAAAGAAAUCUUAGGAGGGCGAAGAUACAUUUAUUAGUCCCUAAUGGUAUGGAUUAAAUCACUUAUACUUGAAGUGUCGAUCUUGUGUACCAUAAACUUUGCAAUUCUACAAAAGGGUCUGCAUAAGGCCUGCUUCAAAUCUGCUCGCCACACAUCAUCGCUUUGAUUAGGCAGAUAUUGCCAAAUAUGUGGACACAGUGCUGGAUACCGUUCCAAGAAUUCAAUCCCUCAGAAUAAGACUUGAAUUGUUUGAGUUUGAUGUCAUUGUUCUUUAUGACUUUGAUGUUCAAACUGGAGUAACAAGAGAGGAGGCCGAGCAUUCAUUAGCUUCACCACAUUCACCUCUAUUUCUUUUGUAUAAAAUGAAUCAAUAGUACAAAGCAUUCCCCUGAACCAUGGCUAGCUUCGGUCCUUUAUAAUUAACCGAGUAGCAAAAACAGUAGCAAUUUAAAAAAACAGUACCAAAAAAAUUAGGUAUAAAAACAGUAGCAAAUAAAAAAUAUUAGCAAAUAUAGCUAGGGUAAUUUUGUUUAGGUAUAAAAAUAGUAGCAAUUUUAAAAGAAUAGUAGCAAUUUUAAAAACAGUAGCAAAAAAAUUAGGUAUAAAAAGAGUAGCAAAUAUAGCUAGGGAAAUUUUGUUUAGGUAUAAAAACAGUAGCAAAUAAAAAAAAGCAGUAGCAAAUUAAAAAAAAGUAGCAAAAAAUUAGGUAUAAAAACAGUAGCAAAUAUAGCUAGGGCAAUUUUGUUUAGGUAUAAAAAACAGUAGCUACAAUUUGUAAAAAGCAUGAGAAACUGAAAAAUCAUCCUGAAAUAUAGCUAGGACAAACUUCAGUCUUUUUUUGUUUGUAACAGAAACUACAGUAGUAAAUAUUUCCUGAAGUAAAUAUUUUCAGUCAUUACAAAUAUGAUGAUGCACCCUCAGGUUUGUCAAGUUCAGCUAAGAAAAACAAACACAUGUAAAAGCGACAAGGAUGGCUCUCAGCCAAACCAAAGCAAGCUAUCCAUGUAAGAGAUCAGCUCACUCCAACAACUUUACUUAGUCUAUUACAAAAACCAAACAAUCUCUUUCUGAAAGCGACUGUCGUUUAAAAGAAGCUCAUCACACAAUCAACUUCCAGCGUAGCUCGAAACUUUUUCAAUCUUCAAUUCUUUGCAUACAUUGGCACACACCCGACGUUCGUGAAACAUCUCGGAUGCCACCAGCAGUAACCUGCGCGUCCCUGCUACUGCUACCUGCAGAUUGCACAAGUCAAUUCUCUGUUUUAUUUGCUUUAACAUAACGGAAUAACUAAUGGUGGCUGCCUAAUGAUGACAGACUAAGUUUCUGAUUUAUUUUGUUAUAGAAGUGUAGAUUCAUUGAUAGCAAUUGUUUUCAGUGUCUCAUGUUGCUUAUAGUGUUUUGUCCAAAAUGUUGAAUGAUACUGCUUGGAGAUGCAUAUAUUGUUUCACCUCUUCACAUGCCAAUGUAUUUUCCAUGUUGUGAUGGAGGCCUUUUUUGCCUUGUCCACCCGAGAGGCCCUUGAGUUUGCCGGAAUGUCGAUUAACUUCCGUUCCGGCAAAUUCGGGUACUCCAUAUGUCCUAUUUUCAGCAAAGGUCAUGCUGAAAUUUUCCGUGAAUUUUAGCAUGACUUUGCUAAAAAUAGGACAUAUGGGGUACUUGUGACUAAUGCAUGGGCCGGGGUAUCUUAGUAGGUAAUUAAGUAGGAUCAAGUGCCCCGGCGUACUUGUGACUAAUGCAUGGCUUUUAGGGUGCCUCGGUGUCGAUAAAAACCGAAAUGAUGAAAGCUUAGGCUUUUAGGGUGCCUCGGCGUCGAAAAACCCUCAAUGAUAAAAGCUUAGCUUUUAGGAUGCCUCGGUGUCGACAAACCCUAAAUGAUGAGACCAUGAUCUUGUUCCUUGACAAUAACCAACUUUUUGACCAAACUUUGUUCCUAUUUAGAGAGAAACAUGGCCAACAACGAUGAGGCCGGGGGUUCGGGCGUCGACAAGCCAUUCUGGAAGCUGCCCCAGGAGAUGGAGGAACAACCUCACUUGUAUGAGGACGCCGCCUUCCCCACCGAUCCUGAGACCACUGAUGGUACCGCCGAGGAUGACCCCACUGAUGCCACCACUGAUGGUGCCGCCGAGGAUGCCACCACUGAUGAUGGCGGCGCACGCACAGAUGGCAGCCAACCGAAGAGGCAACGGAAGGACCGGCGCCCGACCGUGCUCCUCACCCUCAAGGAGGAAGUUACUGAAGUGGACUCCGACGGGAAUCCAACGGCGCCCGAACGAAUAGUCAAGGGGUACUCGCUUCAGCUCGGGUGCAUUCUCCGGAGCACCGUCUCGAUCAACACCGAGAACCUGAGGCAUCCUGACCGAGGGAAUUUGCGCAACCUCCUCUUCACGAAGCUGCACGAACGAUACAAGUUCCCCGCUGAAUUUGAAAACACAAGCCUCAAAGGGAAUAAAGUGAACAAUGCUGCCCUCACGAAGAUGAGCAAGGCCCUGUCUACUUGGAAAAGCAAUGUGAAGAGAAUGAUCGAGAAAGGUGAGAGUUAUGAGAAGAUCAAGGAGAAAAAUCCUUCGAUCACCGAAGAUGACUACAACGACUUCAAGAUCAAUUGCUCGAGCACCGCAAACUCCGAAUCAAGUAAGUGGGGGAAAGAAAUGCGGGAGCUGACCUUAGGGGAACACAUACUCGGUCCCGGCGGUUACAGAGUGGCGGAGCCUAUAUGGGACAAGGAGGAGGCGGACCGUGCCGAGCAAGGCCUACCGCCCCUCUUUGAUAAAUACGGUGACAAGCAGACCAGGAACUUUGUCAGGGCCCGGUACAAGAAGGACCCGAAAACAAAGGAGCUUACCACGGAUCCGAAGACCAGGGCGCUUGAGCUUGUUCUGGUAAGGAAUACACCCCCGCGUAAUUAGCUCCAUAUGGUUGCAUUCUAAUUAAUGAAGCCAAAUUUCUAAAUGGUUCACAUUCCUUCCGCAGGCGACUGAAAGCAGUAGCGCGGGGUCGACUAAGAGCAACCCUUGGGACACCACUCUAAAUAGGGCGUUGAAUGUAAUGAAGAACAAGGAUAAGCUCAGUAAGCCGACGUCAGCUGGUCGUGUGGCCGGCAAAGGCUUGUCGACAAAAUGGUCGUCAUACUAUAACACUGCUGGGCGAAAGGAGAAAAAGACCAGCUCGGAAAGCCAGGCGCGCGAGGUUCAAGAACUCAGGGCACAGGUGGCGCGGAUUCCGGAGAUUGUCCAAGAGCAAGUGCAACAACAACUCGGAGCGACGAUCACCGCCAUUGUGCCUACCUUGAUCCAGGGGAUUAGUGCGUGGAUUGCGGGCGGCCAACAGGGGCCGCCCCCGAUUCCUAGCUUCACGGCCAGCAACUCGCAGAACGCGAUGGCGGGGCCAUUGGUGUCUCCGGCGGAGGCAGCAUUGGUGUCUCCGACGCCGGCACGGGAGCUUAAUGCACCCGGGUGUACGCCGGCCGGCACCUCUGCAGCAAGCGGCCCCUCCGUCAACUGCACGCCCGCCGUUGGCGGUGCCUCGACAUUAGCCGAGCUCGACGCCAUCAUCACGGUAACUAAUUAAGCCUCUCUCAGCCGAGGACUUCAUCUCCUUGCCUUUGACUGGGCAUCCCUAAUGCCCUACAUGUUUUCGCAGGGCGCCGCCGACGUUCCGUGCACUCUCCCGCACUUCGUGAACAACGAGUUGGUCGAUGUCGCCAAGGGCAAAAUCGUUCAACCGGGCAACCCCUUGUUCCACGGUACCCAGAUGCCACCCAACUUGUUUAGGGUUCAACUGGUUCGGGUGCUGCCAGGCUGCGACGAGUUGUUACCUCCGAUUCGACCCAUCGGGGCCGACGAUGAUGACGUGAUGACCCUCAGCGCCUGCCUGAGCUGGCCCCUGCUUUGGCCGAAGAGCCAGAUUCGUUUGGGGGCGGGGGACACCACCCCAAAGACAACACGGCCAGUCGUGCCUGCGCCAAGUCGGCCCCAUGGCAAGACCGCCGCAACGGUGCCGGACAUCCCUAUGCCACUGGAUCCAAACAUGCAUAUGGCACAGGAUCAGAACGACGACGAGGACGAUACAUUUGCCAACGUCGAUCAGUAGUUUGCCGAUCAUGGGGACGGUGGCAACUUCAUGGGGCCUCCUUCUCAAGAACCCAACCCAACAAAAGACGUGUGCGAUCUAGCUGGUACCGCGGAGAAGCCAAGUUGCAACAGGCGUCGUCUGUAGUUCAGCUCUCAGGAGACGCCUCCAGCUGCCGACUUCACCGAGCCUCAGAUAGGCGAGGUGCGAAAUAUGAUCAGCCCCAACACACUCAAGAAGGCGGUCUGUGAGCAGAACUCGGUACCAUUACAGGAGAAGAAGAAGGCACGCAAAAGAAAUACUAACAAGGGUGCGGGCCAGCCGGCACCGAGUACGAUCCGUGCUCAGGACGGGCCACCUUCAACUGCGGAUAUCUCGAGGAGGGUGCAUGUGGCGGGUAGGCCGAUGCUACCGAGAAAUAUGCUCGAUGCUGCAACCGGUGCUAUGCGGAGUCUGCAUGACAGUGUUCUUUCUUUGGAGAAGCGGCGUCUCCGAGAGAAGGAUGUGGCAUACCCGGUUUUCGCGGCCAAGGUGCCAGAGGGCAAGGGCUUUGUGGAUAACUCCAUCGGGGGUACGAUCGUCCUGCGGUUUGAUGACAUCCACGCUAUGUUGAACCUUCAUCCGCUGCACUACACCUUCGUUCGGCUAUUUUCGCUGAGUAUGGAGAUGCGGAUCAUUCGCGACAAGACCCCGGACAUCGUGAUAGUCGACCCCUUCUACAUGCGUGCCAAGAUCUUGGGCAACGCUGGGGACCGGCAAGUCGCGAGUUCUUACCUCGAAGGCGUCAUUCUGGCAAACCAAGAUAAGGAUAACUUCCUCGUGCCUUACUUUCCCGAGUAAGUCCUCCCCUCAACCGCCCCGUAACAUAUGAAUUCUUAGAUUUCGAUCGUUUUUCUUUUAACAUUCCGUGUUUUCUGCAGUGACACACAUUGCACGCUCAUCCUCCUAAGCUCCAAAUAUUCCAUGGCCACGUAUUUCGACCCGGACCGUCAGUCGAACGUAGACUACACAAAUGUCAAGAAGGUUCUUGAUGAUGUUCUCCCCGGCUACGUCAAAUCUGGAGGCACCUUCACCAGGCCUAUUCGUAAGUACGGCAAGCACGUGUUCUCCCACAAUACGACGUUCUGCUGCGUCAAGCAGCCGCCUGGCGGUCAGAAGGGUGCCUACUAUGCCAUCCAUCACAUGCGGGCGAUCGUACAGGACCAUCAUCAACUACUGCUACCGAGUAGACUCAAAGAUUGGGCCGCGAGCGUGUCGGCAAUCCAGGACGCGGACAUCAGACAAGAAUUCUUUCGCAUCCAGUCGGAGUUUGCGGAAAUCAUCCAUCAAGAUGUCCUUCGUACCUCGGGGCAGUUCUACCUCAGAAAUCAACCGUCCAACAGUGACAUCGACACAAUCCUACAAAUGCAGGCUGACAACGCCCGUUGUUUCAUGACUCCCACGAUAGACGGCGGCUUCAUCCACGCUCCGGUCCCUUGAGUCGAGUCGAAAGCAGUGAUGCUGUGUCUAGUUCUGAAACAUCGAUUGGCUCAUGUUGUAAUUAAACUUUAAUGAACUUGUAGUAUGUCUCUUUGGUUUCGAGAGUCCUUCAACUUAGAUGUAAUCGAUGCUAUUAAUGUCUUGCUUUUCUCUUCCGAUCGUUCUGUUGCAUACUUAUAUAUUGCUUAUGUAUUGUCUGUGAAUUGGUACUAACGUUUCGUUUGGCUACUGCAUAGCGAUGCCGUGGUAUGUCGUGUACAAGGGUAAGGUUCCCGGAGUCUACGACGACUGGGAGGAGUGUCGGAGACAGGUUCACCGAUUCAGCGGUAACAGUAACAAAGGGUACGCCACUAGGGCCGAGGCCGAAUCUAGAUACGCCCGCUAUCUAGCGGGAGAGGGGAGGGAGCGUUGGAGGAACCGGAUGAAGACGAGUUUCAUCGUGAUGAUGCUCAUCGUGAUGACCGCAGCUCUCUUCUAUGUGAUGGUAGUUUAGAUGAUCGAUAUCGACUUGUAAUGUGAAGACAAACUCGCGGUCUCGAGACUUAUAAUAUAAUGUUCUAUCUUUGUUCGGUCUUUUCAAUUCGGAGACUAAUAUGAUGAAUUGUAUUCGGAGACUAAAAUGAUGAAUUGUAUUCAGAGACUAAUCUUCUAUUGUAUUCGAUGAAUCUGUUGUUGAUGUGUGCUGUCUAUAUUUUGUCCAAUUAUACAUUUUGUAACCUGUGCAAAAAACAGAAAAUAAAAAAAUAAAAAACCUAAUAUUCAUACUAAUGGUGCAUCACAUCAUAGUGCGCCAUUAGUAUGCCAAAGGAUACUAAUGGCGCAUCACUAAACAUUGCGCCAUUAGUAUGCCGAAGUUACUAAUGGCGCAUCCUGUUGUUGUGCGCCAUUAGUAUGCCAAAGCACUUGGGUAUACAUGGCCCCCUGGGAGGCAUACUAAUGGCUUACUGUUGUAUAUACUAAUGGCGCAUCUGGGGUGCGCCAUUAGUAUACCAGAUACUAAUGGCGCACCAGUGGUGCGCCAUUAGUAAAAUAUACUAAUGGCGUGCUACUAAUGGCGCACCACUAAUGCGCCAUUAAUGGCCAAAUUAGGUGCGCCAUUAGUAGGCCUUUUCCUAGUAGUGUCUCUAUCUUGUGAUGAAUUGAGUUUUCUCUUUGAGAUUUCAUUGUUAUAGGAUUGAAUACUUUUAUGGAUUUGAGAACACUUGAUAUAUGCCUUGCAAUUGAAUACUCAUGGUGACAAUGGGGUAUCGUAUUGAUUCACUUGAUAUAUGUUUUGGCACUCAACUCGCGGAUUCCCGAGGUGACAUUGGGGUAAUCUAUGCAUAGGGGUUGAUGCACAUUCUUGUCUUUGUUUCUCCGGUAGAAAUCUUGGGGCACUCUUUGAAGUUCUUUGUGUUGGAUUGAGUAUUAUGAAUAUGAAUUUGCUUUGGUGUUAUUUUAGUACGAACUCUAGGAUAGAUCGAACGGUAAGAAUAGCUUUGUGUUAUUUAAGUACGAACUCUUGAAUAGAUCAAACGGAAAGAAUAGAUUUGAGGUGGUUUCGUACCCUACAAACAAUUUAUUCUUAUGUUCUCCGCUAGAUAGAAACUUUGGAGUGAUUCUUCAUCGCACUUUGAGGGAUGGUUAUACGAUCCAAUUAUAUUAGCAUUGUCGAGAGAUUGCACUAGCGAAAGUACAGACCCUAGGCCUCAUUUUCAAGCAUUGCAAUACCGUUUUUGUGCCCGUUUACUAUUUGCCACCUUGCUGUUUUUAUUUAUUCAGAUUAUAAAAAUAUAUUUCUACCAUCCAUAUUACACUUUUAUCACCAUCUCUUCACCGAACUAGUGCACCUAUACAAUUUGCCAUUGUUGUAUGUUGGGGACACAAGAGAUUUCUUGUAUUUGGUUGCAGGGUCGUUUGAGAGAGACCAUCUUCAUCCUACACCUCCCACGGAUUGAUAAACCUUAGGUCAUCCACUUGAGGGAAAAUUGCUAUUGUCCUACAAAACUCUACGCUUGGAGGCCCAACAUGAGUCUACAAGAAUAAAGUUGCGUAGUAGACAUCACGUGGCAAUGUAUUACGAUGCAAGUCAGCCAUUUGUCCGAGAAAACCUUGCAUGAAACAUUAGAAGGGGGAAGGCCAACAUACCAAGUCAAAUGCUUUGCUAAAGUCUAGCUUAACCAUGAUGGAAGGAUCCCUGGUUCAAGCACAAACAUGUAGGAUAUCCACAUCAUACAGGAAGUUUCCAGAGAUCAAACUACCCGAGAGGAAGCCAGUUUGGUCUGGUUGAACAAGUAAAGAGAUCACCGGGUUUUAUUAUUAUCAAAUAAACAGUAGGAGAGGCUCCUGCUGUGUUUUCAUAUAAAUGGGGAGGUUACAAGUUACAUUGGUAUGUACAAUCAUUUUUGAUCACCCACCAUUGGGUGUGGAAGGGAGGGGGAAUCACGCCCAAAAAAGUAAAAGAUAAAAACCCUAGCGUAAAGAGGUGACAAAGGACUCUAUGAAAGCCUUAUGGGCCUCCUUGGAUCUGUUUGAGGUAGGCUAAAAUCUUCCUUAAACCUGUUCAGCCAGGCCGCAAAACUGUGGGGGAUGCCUUUGAAGUAGUUAUUGUUCCUUUCUUUCCAUAGGUUCCACACUGCUGCGAGGAAUAUUUUGAUGAACAUGGGUCUGUCCCAAGCUUGCCUGGCCAAAUGAACGAGGUGUAGCCGGCAUGCAGACGUGGACCAAUCAAUGCCCUGUUUUCUCCAGCAGGCACGGCUAAAAGGGCAUGUAAAGAUCAUGUUUCAAUUGGUUGGUAAGGAGUUUUGCGAGGGCUUUCAUGGGACAAUUUUGUAGCGAGAUCAGUCUAAAAGCACCUGCAGUGGUAUCUGACGGGCCUUUGGGCGGAAAAGCUAUCAAAGCCCGGUUUGGGUAGAAUCCGCUGAGGGGUUGAAAAAACUAUGGAAAAUGGUGGUGACUUUCGGCAUUAGGAUAGGUCAGAUUUUUUUGACACUAUCACACUUCCACUUAUUCAUUGAUCAAAAUAGUUAUGUCGUUUAUAAGAGUUUUAUAAUAGUACUAAGGUCAUCGUCGCGCACAUGACGCAAAACAAAAAAACUUAAUGGAUAGGCUAGAUUUUUUUUAUAGAAAGCAGACUCGAAACGUUCUUGUGCAGGACUAGCGUAAAAAAAGUCUUGUGCCAUGAAAGGUGUGUCCAGAUAGCGAGUGGGGGGGAGGUGAGAGAAGGGUAGAGAUCAGAGAGCGAAAAAUUCCAAAUAGGGGUGAAGGGGGCCCGAGCAAGUUUGUGUAAAAACUCGUUAAGAUUUUUUGUUUUGCGUUAGGUGCUAAGAUUUUUUUGUCAUAAAGAAGCAUUGUGAUCUCGCAUCGGGGUUUUGGCCAUCGUGCUCUACAAGGUUUGACAUUUGAGAAAAUCUACCAAAAUGAUAAGUGCCACAUGUGUGGCGUGAAGUAACAUGGCCCAAAACCCCUUCAUUACCAUCCAUUUUGCCACAUCAAACAAAUGACAUCAGCGGAAUCUUUUUGGUUUUGGAACUUGUUUUAUCUUAAAUAAAAAAUCUUGUAAAAAAAUCCGUUUUCAUCAUUAAAUCCAUCUCGAAGAGAUUUUCAAAACUAGAUCUCAUAUUGAUAUGUAUCAACGACUUUUUUAGGGCCAAAAGUUGCCAUGAUAUUACACUGAGUUGCCACAAUGUUUACACUAAAGUUGCCAUGAUAUGCUUCAUCUAUUUUUUUUAGAUAUUAAACUACCAUUGUUUUUCAACUACUUUUCACGGCAAAUUUUAUUAAUUGACCAUGGCAAUUUUUAGUAAUUAACCACGGCAAACUUAAUUCAUGGAUCAUGGCAAUUUUUAGUAAUUCAUCAUGGCAAAUUUAGUUCAUAGAUCAUGGCAAAUUUAGUAUUUUGACCAUGGCAAUUCUAGUAUUUUGACCAUGGCAAUUUUAGUAUUUUGACCAUGGAAAUUAUUUUUGUAUGAACCAUGGCAAAUUUUAGUGCAUGUAUCAUGGCAAAUUUAAGUAUUUCACCAUGGCAAUUUAAAUUUAUGGUUCAUGGCAAAUUUGAGUCAUUGACUAUGCAUUUUUAAUGUAAUUUUGACGACGGAUUUCUUUUUAAUAUGAACCAUGUCAAAAUUAUUUCAUGGAUCAUGGCAAAUUUUAGUAAUUCUUCAUGGGAAGUUUAAUUUCUUAAUUUCCCAUUUUAUAACAUGUCAAAAUUUACUUUAAACGUACAACAAAAAGUAGUUGAAGCAUACAAUGGCAACUUCAGUGUAAACACUAUGGCAAUAUAUGUGCAAUAGACAUGGCAAGUUUUGACCGUCAAAAAAUAUCGUCGAAACAUAUUGAUAUGGGAUCUAGUUUUGAAGUCCUCGCCACGGUGUAUUUAAUGGUAAAAACGGAUUUUCAUCGGAUUUUAUUUGAAAAAUGAAACAUCAUCUGUCUUCAUCCUGAUUUGCAUGCAUGUGUGGAAAAACAAAAAGAUGACGUGUCACAAUGGGUGGCUAGAUGGGCGUUUGGCCCAACUCCUUCAGUCCACACGUGCGGGCGGAAUUGCUUCGUGCCACACGUGUGGCACUUAUCAGGCUCCAAAAUCUAUACGCACUACACUGGAAUGGAGGGAUACCACACACGGUUUCUAAUCAGCAUUUGAAUGCAUGUUGCUAAUCAUUUUGCCUUUGGAAACAUAAUUUUUGGGCGGUAACGAAGGACCGGGUUACCGCCCGCUAACCAAACCCCUGCCUACAACACUACACACUUGAGACUAUAAUUAUGGACCAUUGCCCACACACGUAGGCUCCUUUUUGCAAUUAAACAUAGACAUCCCAACUGGAGUAGAUCCAAAAUAACUCAAAGGGCAGACCCAACAGUAGCAUACGCACGGAAAGAAAGAAGAAGCAUCUUACACUGCCAAAGCCCAGCAUAUACCCCCUCUUCCUUUGCGGGAGCAGCAGCAGCUGCACGUGCCCGCCCCUAUCUGCCCCACGAACCAUCGGUAGAACUCCCCGUUUCUUACCGAUUCACCGCCACGAACCCACAGAUCCCGAUGAACGAAAAGCGACAUUCCUCCCUCGCCCCGCCCAUCUCCACCACCCCCUGCCUGCCCUAUCCCAGACCCGUCCUGCCAUCCGCGCAUGUGCGUGCCCACGCACCAGAUCCCAAAUCAUUUCGCCGUAAUUACACUUGUUUAGCUGGCGGCCUCACCUAACCUCCUCCUCCUUCACGGCACGCCAUGGACGACAGACAAACAAAGCUUCCUCUCUCCCUCUCCCCGCUGGACGGAGCGCUGUUUCGCCGCAAAGAGAGAACGGGAGAAAAAUCGCCGGAGACGGGGAAGAAGAAGACAAGCGUGACUGUGCGAGGAGCAAGAACGUGGGGCUGCGAAACUGUACGAAGAAUAAACUACCGCGAGAGAAGCCGAAGCUGCAGUAGCAGAAGGUGGCCGGCGGGUAGGCCUGCAGCACGGCAGCGCAGAGCUGCCGGCCGCUGCUGCGCAUUCAAUGCCGCCCGCAAGAUAGUACCAACUGGAAACGGAAACAGGAGUUACACAACGGCCGAGCCUAUUUUCGAUCGCCGUGGCCUAGUGAAAUGUAAAAAAGCAGAAGAAGUUAAAAACCGAAGCAAAUUUGAACAAGGUGGAUCGGGAGAGGGCUACUGCAUGCCUAGCUCUAGGCAGCUGUGCAUGGGAUUAUUCUGUUCUUUUUUACUCCUCUUUCUCUUUACUGUUUUCCUUUGGGGGGUUGGAUCAGCGUCUCUUUUCACUCCCAGCAGGCCUUCCCUUUCUACGCGCGCCGCCGCUAGCUCCCCGUCAUUUGCAUCAUGCUCUGCUCACACGGUGGCCACCGGGGUCCACUCGAACCGGCCGGCGUUGAGAGGCACGCCGCGCGCGACGUCGAAGUUGUACCUGCAAUGAGGCAGCGGUAGCACAAUGCUUAGGCGCGGCGGCGUCUGUGAGGACGAUCGAGCGACUGCCAAGACGUGCGUGCGGAUUUGCUCAAUUGUAAAUUUCCACUUACUUGGCGGCGAAGCGCUCGGCCUGGGCCUUCUCCGCGGCGGCGAAGAACUCGUCGAUCUCUGCCGCUGGUGGCAUCCUUGCUCUUGCUCUCGCCUCCAAGUCAUAGUGCAAUGGCGCUGCGGUCGUCGUCGUUGUUGCCGGACACCUCCUGCGUUUGUGCUUCUGCUCGUCCGCCGCCUGGCUCGACUCCAGGUCGCUCAAAUCUACCGGCGAACGGCUCGACGGCGUCGUCUCCCUCCUGGAUUGCCACAAUCCAACAGGUCAAAUUCAGAAGCAAAACCAGGUCCCUCAACUCAAGAUCACCCUGGAGAGUAGAAAACAAUGGGUAAUUCAGCAGAAUUCCCGUCGGUAUCGAGAGAGGAGGACUCACCUGUCCCGGCCGCCGCACUCAGAGUCGCUGACGGAGCUCUCCACGUCGCGACUCUCGCACGCCUGCUGAUCGACCAAGACAGUCAGAACCAAAUCUCGUAAUUCAGCAGCAGAAACGGCCCGAUCGAUAGCUCGAAUUAGCGGAGAAUUCUAGGGCAGUGGACCACUCACCUCCGCUUCAUCCCCGCUCCUCUCUCUAGCCGCCACGUCGACCGCCGUGGACGCGGUGCUGGAGCAGCGCGAGACCCCGGCCCCGACCGCCGCCUCCACCGAGGGCCCAGAGUCCGGCAGCCCCGCUGUGGAAGCCUCCUCACACACCCCCUGUCCCCGCAGCUGAUCCACCACCGCGGCAGCAGGCAUGAACAGCCUCCUGCUCCGGAGAUGCAGGUAGCACCCGGCGGCCGCGUCGCCGCCGUCACGGCCCAGCAACGCAUCCUCCACCGCGCGCGCCGCCGUGGACGUCGUCGCCUGCUGCUGCUUCCUCAUCUUCGCGUCGAGGGCGGCCGCGCGGGACCGCGUGCGGACGCCGAGGGCCACCGGCGCGCGGUGCUCCACGACGGCCGGCGCCGCCCUGCCGCCGCCCGCGGCCGCGGCCCUGCACUUCCGCAUGUACUUCCCCAUCCGCGAACGGACGAAAAGAAAGAACCCGUCGCUUUGGCCGUUUGCCUCCGCAGGCUUCCGAGAGAGAGAGAGAGCCCAGCAAAUUCGCUCCUCCGGCGUACAAAUACCCGGUGCGGUGGGGCCGACCGGAUUCGGAUCGGACGGCCGAGCGCUCGCGCGGGGGAACUGACGGCGCCGUGACCUGGGGGUUUGGCUCAGGUGCAGGGGUCACAGCACGGAUUAAUAUGCAGGGCCAAUAAUCAAGUGACAGAUGUCCUGGUGGGACCAACUAAUAAAGCCUUCUUAUUUCUCUCUAUACCUGAUUCUCAAUCUUCUUCGUUCUUCUUCUAGACUAGAGACCAUGAAUCCGAUCGAGGCCAAGGUGGCGGCGGCGCAAGGCUGAGGUGAUGGUGUGGGCGGCCAAGGCGGGGCCGCGGAGGACGACAUCACAAAGCUGAGGGGCACGCAGCGAUUAGACUUCAGUCAAAAAACGCAGCGAUUGGACCAUGGUUCCUUAGGUAGUGGAGAUGGCAGCACCCAUAGCGUUGAAUUCACAGUCCUCAUGCACGGAGGUGAGUUGGAGCGGCGGAGCACAUCCUCCGUCUUGGCCGCCUUCACGCAGCACGGGGAGCUUCAUUUGUGUGGCGGCCGGCGGCGACGGCGUCGUCGUCAAUGGGAUGACAGCUAGCUACUCUCUCGAGGAAGCACCCUAGCAUUACAAACGUUAAUUUCAUAGGACGUGAAGGUUCGUGGUCUCUACCCUUGAUUAAUGGUGGAGUAGAAGAUUGAGAACCAGGAAACUGGUAGAAUAAAAAGAGAGAAGUAAAAAGGCUUUAUUAGUUGGUCCCAUUGGGACAUGUGUCACUUGAUUAUUGGCCCUGCAUAUUAAUCCGUGCUGUGACCUCUGUACCUGAGCCAAACCCGUGACCUGGAUCUGGACGGGACGGCGUCGGAGGUGACGGUGACGCGGACGGAACGUGAGAUGGUACUGCCGCUGUAACGGCGCACUACACGGUAGUACCGGGCAGUACCGGCGAGGGGAUCGAUCGGACGGUUGGGGUUCGAAUUUUGAAUUUAAAAACUUGGCCCCUCGCAAGGAUGGGCUUGUGGCGUGACGGGGCCGCCGGGCUUAAUUGUGCGAGUUUAAUGCUGCACCGUUGUAACGUGACGAGCCGGACGGGGGUUACUGGUUACGCUCCGAAGCGCACGGCGCAUGCAUGCGUGGAUCACGUUGGUACAUUUUUCUCGAGAUCGGGCUUGUGAAUGCUUCACUGAACGUUCUUUUUUUUUUAAAAAAAAUAUGAACUUUCUUUUGCGAAUGAAAACUGAUUUUUUUUACUAUGCAAUGAACUUCUGUCAAAAAAUAACCAGCGAAUAAACUUUGUGUUCAUGUAGCACUAUAAGCUUCUUCGCAAAAACACACACACGCGCAAUAAGUUGCAACUGUCGUUUGCCGGGCCCUAGAUUACAGUGGGCUUGAUCUCGAUUGGUUGUCUUUUGUUUUUUCACUAAUUAUAAUUACCCCUAAUGCCCUUGUUUGGAUUAUUGUUUCUGUCUCAAAUACCAUUGUAAAAAAUACAGGUCUCUGCUCGUCGUUUUGUUUCCGGCUGGAAAUCUGUUCAUGGCCGGUAAGAUAUACGUGUAGAUAAAUACAUUUGUAUUACAAUACACCGCAUCCAAGCGUGGCCUAAGACGUCAAGGGUUUUCCCGCCCGCUGGUACUGCCGUUGAUCUGUCCCGCCUCCUGUGGCCUUAGGGUCAUGAAGGCCCUGUGGAUCCCAACCCCUUGCCAGCGGGAGGGUUCAUGCCUCAUUUUUAGGGUUUUUUUAGGCCGUUUAGGUUUCAUUCCUGUUCAGGAGGGCGAGGUGGCAGCGACUAUCUAAAAAUAGAAUAAAGGUUCUCCCCGCUUAGCCCUCGUCCCGGAGGUGCAUUUCACUUCGUCGGAGAGCGUGUGGAGGUGUAUUUUCGGCGUAUCUCGUAGGGUUCGGUUGGUGUUGGUCUUUGAUGGAUCAGCAUGGAUAUGGUCUUCGUUCAUCUGCGUUCAUGCAUCUAUAGGUUGGAUCCCUUCGAUCUACGCUUCUCUUCUUCCGCGGCGAUUGUUGUUCUGGUGCGCUGGGGCUUUAGGGCCAUAGAGGAUGUUGUUGGCUCGAGUGAGGGAGAGGUGAUGAAGGCGGUACGCCUUUAGCUCACUCCAGUGUUUGUAGUUAUCGGUAGGUGGUCUAUGGACAUUGGAUGUAAUUUUUGUUACUUCUGAUGUUCUUUGUGCUACCAUGAUGUUCGAUGAAUAUAUUGGAAGUUUUUUCUGCAAAAUAAUUUAACUAACCCUAAACUUUGUUUAAUAGGAGAGAAAAGUAUACUUUUAGUCUCUUAAAUUUUUGCAAAGUAUACAUUUGGUCCUUGUCUUUUUUUUUCAUCGACAUUUCGUUCCUUAAGUUUUCAAACCGGGUACGAUUCAUCCGAAAGGUUGGUUGUGCUGAUGUUGACUGGGUAUUGACCUUUAACCUUGCCACAUUGAUACGUCUUCAACGUAUUUAUAAUUUUUUAUUGUUCCGUGCUAUUAUAGUAUCAAUCCUGGAUGUUUUAUAUGCAAUUAUAUAUCAUUUUUUGGGACUAACCUAUUAACUUAGUGCCCAAUGCCAGUUGCUAUUUUUGUCUGUUUUUUACUUUUCAGAAAAUCAAUAUCAAACAGAGUCCAAACGGAGAAAAAGUUUGGAUUAAAUUUUUCUGGACCAGAAGAGACCCUAGAAGGUUCUGGAGAAGACCUGAAGAGCCACGAGGGAGCGACAAGCUCGAGAGGCGCGCCCCAUGGGGGUGCCCCCCAGGCUUGUGGGUCCCUCAUGGCACCUCUUGACCUAAUUCCACCUCUAUAAAUUCUCAAAUAUUCCCCUGACAUCAGAGAGUCACCCGAAAUACUUUUUCCGCCACCACAAGUUUUUGUUCUCACGAGAUCCCGUCUGGAGGCCUUCUCUGGUACUCUGCCGGAGGGGGAAUCGACCAUGGAGGGGCUCUAAAUCAACCUUGCUGCCCUUUCGAUGACGCAUGAGUAGUUUACGAUAGACCUACAGGUCCAUAGCUAGUAGUUAGAUGGCUUCUUCCCUCUCUUUGAUCUUCAAUACAAUGUUCUCCUUAAUGUUCUUCGAGAUCUAUUUGAUGUAAUGACUUUUUGUGGUAUGUUUGUUGGGAUUCGAUGAAUUGUGAGUUUAUGAUCAAAUCUAUCCAUGAAUAUUAUUUGAGUUUUCUCUGAACACUUUUAUGCAUGAUUGUUAUAGCUAGCUUCGUAUUUCUCUCUGAUCUAUUGAUUUGGUUUGGCCAACUAGAUUGAUUUAUCUUGCAAUGGGAGAGGUGCUUUGUAAUGGGCUCGAUCUUGCGGUGCUCAAUCCUAGUGGGAGAAGGGGACAUGACACGUAUUGUGUCGUUGCCAUUAAAGAUAAAAAGAUGGGGUUUAUUUAUACGUGAGUUUACUUUGUCUACAUCAUGUCAUCUUGCUUAAGGCGUUACUCCGUUCUUUAUGAACUUAAUACUCUAGAUGCAUGCUAGAUAGCGAUCGAUGUGUGGAGUAAUAAUACUAGAUGCAGAAUCGUAUCGGUGUACUUGUCUCGGACGUGAUGCCUAUAUACAUGAUCAUUGGUUUGGAUAUCGUCAUGAUUAAUUAUUUGCUUUUUUAUCAAUUGCCCAACAGUAAUUUGUUUACCCACCGUAUGCUAUUUUCAAGAGAGAAUCCUCUAGUGAAAACUAUGCCCCCCGGGUCUACUUCUUAUCAUAUAUUAAAACCAAAAAUACCUUGCUGCAAUUUUUCUUUAUUUAUUUUAUUUUGUAUUUUUGUUCGAUCUAUCUAUCACCAUAUAAUUUAACCUUGCAAGUAACCGUCGAGGGAUUGACAACCCCUUGUUCGCGUUGGGUGCAAGGAUUUGUUAUCUUGUGUGUAGGUACUGCUAACAAGGAGUUGCGUUGUUCUCCUACUGGAUUGAUAACCUUGGUUCUUAACUGAGGAAAAUACUUAUCUCUACUGUACUACAUCAUCCUCUCCUCUUCGAGGAAAUCCCAACGCAGCUCACAGUAGCACACAUCAGCGCCACAUCACACACAUGGAUUCAAAUCUCUCUCAAUGAAUCUAGCUCGAUAUCCGCCUCCACUAGUAGAAAAUGGGUCAAAUGUUUAGCUCAUUAGUUCUGGUUUGUAUUUGAGCCGGCACUAAUUUGACCAUUAGUGCCGGUUCCAACGGCUAGGCGAGAUGCUCUCAUUAGUACCGGUUCGUGCCGAACUUUUAGCACCGGUUCGUGCCAUGAACCGGUACUAAAGAGAGUGGUGGCAGGAUGUUGUCAGACUGGGGCCCCUCUAGCACCUUUAGUACCGGUUCUUGCCACGAACCGGUACUAAAGGGCGUCCUAUAUAAACCCUUCGUCGACCCGAGCUUGCUCUAUUUUUCCCCUUUCCCCUCUCCUCUCUGUUCUUCCCCUCUACCCUCGAGCUCAUCACACAUUUUGCCCAAAUUUUGUCAAGAUAUUUUUUGACUGGGAUUUUGUCAAGAUUUGAAGGCCCCCAUCCAUUCAAGUGAUCACAAAGGUAAGCAACUUUGUCCUUUCAUCUCUCAUUGCUAGAUUAGCUCUUGCAAUGCUUUAUAUAGUCAUUAAUUUGUGGGUUUUAGUAAUUUGGGAGGAAUUAUAUGUGGUAUUUUAUUUGAUUUAUAUGCAAUUUGAUCUCAAAAUAACUCUUAGUUUGCAUAUGUAGGUGUGGUUUACUUAGUGCCUUCACGUCUCCGUCCUAACCACCGUCGAUCGUCCGCACCGUCCUAUCGCCGGCACCACCUUGUGGUGAGCCUCUUGUUCUUAUCUUUUUUAUAUAAAAAAAAUCAUGUUUGUGUGAUUUAAAUAUAUAGUUGUAUAAUUAUCUUACCCGUAUGUUGUUUGUUAUACAUAGUGCCAUGGUUUUGAUACCCAUCCCCGUCGGCCCUCGUCCGUGUUAUGAUUCAGAUGUGGUAUAUUCUCUUUUAAAACUAUUUGUUGCAUUUCUGUUCAUGACAAAUUAUGCCCAUCAAGUUGACAUAGAUAUUUUUAUCUAGGAGGUAUGUGAACCGGAAAUUCCAACCGACCCUAUUGUCGAGAGGUUAAAUUUAGUUGAAAGAGAAAACGAGUAUUUGAAAGAAAAAUUGAAAAUAAUUGAGGGGGAGAAGAUGGAAUUGGAGUUGCAUGUUGCCGAUGUCGUUGUUGAUCACAAGAUCAAGAUGGAGAAAAUGCGCUUGAAGAUUAGAAAGAUUAGAAAAUAUGCCAUUGAUAGUGAGGCUUGGUAUCAUUAUGCUGUUGGAUCAAUUGUUACCUUAGUUGCGAUCUUGAUCGCAUUUGUUGUUGCAUUUAAAUGCUUUAGCUAGAGAGUUAUUUGUAUGUUGCAUUUAAGUGUUGUAUGAACUUUAUGUAUGAACUUGUAUUAAUUUGGUCUUUUCAGUGUUGUGUAAUGAAGAUGAGCCGGCAAUGGAUGUACGAUGACCGUUGCUCUCCCAGUUCAUUAUUGUCGUGCAUACUUUUCUGAUUGCGGCUGAGGCAAACAAGCGGGCGGAUGGUUUUAUGCUUUGUCCAUGUGCUGGCUGUAAGAAUGAUCGGAAUUACUCUUAAGUUGAAAAUCAUUCACAUCCACCUGUUUGAGUCCGGUUUCAUGCCCCACUAUAAUGUUUGGACCAAGCACGGAGAAAGAUGGGUUAUGAUGGAAGACAAUGAAGAAGAAGAGGACGACGACAGCUAUUCUGGCCAUGGGUUCCCUGAAUACGAUGGUACAACAAUGGGGGAAGAAGCUGAGCCGGCAAUGCAAGAAGAAGCUGAAGAAGAGGCAUCAGAUGAGCCCGUUGAUGAUCUAGGUCGGGCCAUUGCCGACGCAAAGAGAAACUGCGCAAGUGAAAAGGAGAAGAAGAAGUUGCAGCGCAUAUUAGAGGAUCACAAAAAAUUGUUGUACCCGAAUUGCGAAGCUGACAAGAAAAAGCUGGGCACCACACUGGAAUUGCUGCAAUGGAAGGCAGAGAAUGGCGUAUCUGACAAGGGAUUUGGAAAGUUGCUGGUAAUGAUAAAGAAUAUGCUUCCAAAGGACAACGAAUCGCCCGAGAGUACGUACGAAGCAAAGAAGGCUGUCUGCCCUCUAGGGUUAGAGGUGCAGAAGAUACAUGCAUGCCCUAUUGACUGCAUCCUCUACCGCGGUGAGUACGAGGAUUUGAACCCGUGCCCGGUAUGCGGUGCAUUGCGCUAUAAGAUCAGCCGCGAUGACCCUGGUGAUGUCGAGGGCGACCGCCCCAGGAAAAAGAUUCCUGCCAAGGUGAUGUGGUAUGCUCCUAUAAUACCACGGUUGAAACGUUUCUUCCAAAACAAAGAGCAUGCCAAGGCGAUGCGAUGGCACAGAGAAGACCGUAAGAAAGACGGAAAGUUUAGAGUACCCGCUAAUGGGUCGCAGUGGUGAAAAAUUGAGAGAAAGUACAGGGAGGAGUUUGCAGGUGACGCAAGGAACCACUACAAAAAAAGACACAUCUGUGACAUUUUGGGCCGAACGAAUUUUUUCUGUCAUACUUAUGACACUUCUAUGACGAUAAUUAUGACAAAACCCGGUAUCAUCAUAGAUGUGGUGGGGUCCUACCUCUAUGACAAAAAAUCAUGACAAAAAUGGGCUUUUCCUCCUGGGCGGGCCAGAGACGCAGUUGCAUGACAUUCUUUGGGCCGUCCAUGACGGAAAAAACCGUGGUAGAAGCGAGGGCGAGGAAAAUAUCGGGGUGUUCCCGGUUACGGUGGGUGGUCGGGGGCCGAGCGAUGCGUGUUUCUCUCGUACGUACGCGCGUGUGUGAGAGGCGUUGCGCUCUAACUGAACCCGAGCGAGGCGUUGGGCUCUAACUGAACCUGAGCGAUUGCACUGCAGGCUACACGUUACUGAACCCGAGCGAUCGAUCGAUGGCUAUUAACUGAACCCGAUCGAGCGAUUCCUUCGCUACUGCCGCUAACUGAAGCCGAUCGAUGCUGCCUCUGGAUGAACAGUGAGUGUUGUUGGGGGGUUUGGAUGAACAGUUCCCAGUGGGGGUUGGAUGAACAGGAACCCGUGGUAGUAGAGGCCGUUGCCGCUGGAUGAACAGUACCCCGAUCGAUCGAGCCGGUGGAUGAACAGGACCCCGUGGAGGGCUGGAUGAACAGGACCCCGUGGAGGGCUGGUUGAACAGUAGCCGGUGGAGGGCUGGUUGAACAGUAGCCGGUGGAGGGCUGGAUGAACUAUAGCCCGUGGAGGGUUGGUUGAACAGGACCCCCGUGGAGAGGGCUGGUUGAAUAGUAGCCGGUGGAGGAGCGCGCGGUGGAGGCUGGAUGAAGAUGAGCCCGUGGAUGAACAGUCGCAGGUGGAGGUUAGAGGAGGUCGACGGUGGAUGAACUAUAGCCCGUGGAGGCUGGAGGAGGUCGACGGUGGAUGAAUAGUAGCCCGUGGAGUCCCGUUUUGCGGCACGCCACACCCCUCCCAAUGAACAGGACCCCUGUUUCGACCGUAGCGCUUCAACACAAGUCCGUUUCCUCCGUUUUGCGGUACGCCACACCCCUCCCGAUCAACAGGACCCCGUUUCCACCGUAGGAGGUCUGUUUCCUUCGUUUUGCGGUAAGCCAGACCCCUCCCGAUGAAUAGGAUCCCGUUUCCACCGUGGCCGGUCGAACAAAAGGCCGUUUCCCCCGUUCUGUGGUACGCCAGGCCUCGUUUCCAUCUUCUGUUCCGUCCAAGCCGGUUGGCUCCCGAUGAACAGCACGCGUUCCGUUGCCUCCCGAUGAACACGACGCAUUCCGUUGGCUCCCCAUGAACAUGAUGACGAUGCAGUUUCUUCGUUCCGACCCAGCCACAGCCAUGUACAUGAGCCCUGGCCGUACGUAUGUGCGAGUAGGCAUUCGAGACCCCACCCGUGUGUACGUACAUGGCCGUAUUUAUUUUCUUGCACCCUGGCCGCUGUACGUACGUGUACAUGCUAUGUGCGCGCCUCUACUACCACACGUGCGCGCCUCUACUACCACACGUGCGCGCCUCUACAUCAACCAGUAUGUACGUACACGUUCGCGACCAGAAUGACAUCGCUACGUACGCUUCGACCAGGUGGGUCCCGACUGUCAGGCACUUCCUUGCGUGCGAAGAUGUAGCUGGUGGGUCCCAGCAGUCAGGGGCAAAUUUUUUUUUUGCGAAAUACGGUGGCCCGUCCGGUGGGUCCCUGCUGUCAGGUGGAGGAAUAAUUAUUUUGCUCGUAAUAUCGAGGCACUUCCUUGCUGCGGCCGUGGACCCAACUGUCAGCCUCUCCAUGUACAGUACUCUUCCGAUGGAAGUCGUUCCUUGACCAUGUUGACCAUGCCGCUCCAAGAGCACCAAGGCUGUGGACGACGGCGAGGCCUAGGAAGGGGAUGACACGGAGCCGGGGAAGACGCGGCAGUGGAAGCCCACGCGGAGAGGAGUACGAGGGUUCACUGGUUCAGCUGCGGUGUGAGCUUGCCGUCGCCGCAGAAUAAUAGGGGGUGUGGGUGAGUAGAGGCGGACGGCCUGGCCAGUGGUGGGAGUAGUAGGGGGCGGUGAGGCCUCCGUGACAUCACAACCGACCAUGGGAGGUAGGAGCACGCGGCACGACCGGCGCUGGUUUGGGCGGCUGGAGCAAGAAGACCAGAGGUUGAAGAAGCACUACAACCGUUGGAUGGUCAUCGUACGGUCACUGGAGCUAGAAUCGUUCAUAUUGACUAAGUUGACAAAGCCCUCCGUCCCCGUCAACUUAGUAGGCCCACAAGUCAGCCUCCCACGCAGGGGGGUAUUCAUUUUUUGUGCGUAAUAAGGAGGCACUUCCUUGCGUGCGAAAAUAUAGCUGGUGGGUCUGAGCUGUCAGCGGGGGGAACAUUUUUUUGUGAAAUACAGAGGCCCUUCCGGUGGGUCCCAGAUGUUAGGUGGAGGAAUCAUUAUUUUGCGCGUAAUAAGGAGACAUUUCCUUGUGUGCGGCCGUGGACCUAGCUGUCAGCCUCUCCACGUACAGUUCAAUUCCGAUGGAUGUCGUUCGUUGACCACGUUGACCACGCCGCGCCGAGAGCACCAGGGCAGUGGAUGACGCCGAGGCCUACAAAGGGAACGACACGGAGCCGUGGAAGACACAGCAGUGGCUGCCCACGCGGUGGGGAGUACGAGGGUUGACUGGUUCGGCUGCCGUCGCCGGAAAAUAACAGGAUGUGUGGGUGAGUAGAGGGAUAGACAAGCUAGGGAUGCGAGUAUGGUGGGACCAUGAGGCCUGCGCGGCAGCACAGCCGGCCAUGGGAGGCGGGAGCAGGCGGUUCCGCCAGCGCUGGUUUGGGCGGCUGGAGCAGGAAGAUCAGAGACUAAAGAAGCAUGAUUGCCGUUAGAUUGACAUCUAACGGUCUGACGCUGGUAGAGUCGAUUGUUGACUAAGUUCCUUUUUUUGAGAAACCUUGUGUACGCAUGAACUUAGUAGGCCCACAAGUCAGCCUCCAAAUCCGUGGCAAACAACAUAGAUCCCAUUAGCUAAUUUUUUUAUAAUUUGCUGCCCAUUUGCUAAUUCUUAAGUAAUUUAUUACAACCCAUUUUCUGCCCAGGACCACGGUCAAAAAGUUCAACCUUAUUUUGCAUAUUUCAGUGGAGUCCGAACUAUUGUAAUCUAGAAAUGAUAAACAUUUUUUAAGAACUUAUUGAUUUGCCCAAAAAAUCGUUUUGUUUUUGUAAGCAAAUAAGACGUGGGACAAUUGAGUUCGUUUAAGGGAAAACCAGUGGUAAAGAAAUCAGCGCUAGGAGGGAAAACGACAACAAAAAUAAGGAUGUAAAUAUGAAAAGGGAACUUUAUGUAUUUUCAAUAUAAUGAUACGUGUAUGUGAACUAGUAAAACUAUAGGUAGAGAUUAGAAAACGGAUGUAGGACAUGGCGUUUCAAGAGGAAAACAGAACUGGGUUGUGUGUUUGAUUCAGUAAAAAAACUGCCUGCGGAUGUUGUAAGACAAAAUAUAACUAACGCUGGCGGGCCAGAGGCCAGUAGAUACCCGCUGGAUCUUUGUUCCCCGUUGUCGUUAUGGGCUGAGCCUGUUAAAAACAAAACCAAGCCUGGGCAGUCUACAGCCCAGUUGAAACUUGCUCGACCUGAAAAAACAAUAUACCUGCUCAACAAACGAGAGAAUUCUGCAAGUACAAACUGAUAACUGGGAUGUAGCAGGUAUAUUGUUUUUUCAUCGUGAUAAUAAGUGCAUGCACUUGUUUCAAAAAAAUGGAGAACUGGAAAUUCGAACGGCAGGUGCUUGAUACGUCUCCAACGUAUCUAUAAUUUUUGAUUGUUCCAUGCUAUUAUAUUAUCUGUUUUGGAUGUUUAAUGGGCUUUAUUAUACACUUUUAUAUUAUUUUUGGGACUAACCUACUAACCAAAGGCCCAGUGCAAAUUGUUGUUUCUUUUGCCUAUUUCAGUGUUUCAUAGAAAAGGAAUAUCAAACGGAAUCCAAACGGAAUGAAACCUUCGGGAGAGUGAUGUUUGGAACAAACACAAUCCAGGAGACUUGGAGUGGACGUUAAGAAAGGAACAAGGAGGCCACGAGGUAGGAGGGCGCACCCAGGGGGGUAGGCGUGCCCCCACCCUAGUGGGCCCCUCGUGGCUCCCCUGACCGACUUCUUUCGCCUAUAUAUACUCAUAUACCCCGAAAACAUCCGAGAGCACCACAGAACCCUAUUCCCACCGCCGCAACCUUCUGUACCCGUGAGAUCCCAUCUUGGGGCCUUUUUCGGCGCUCCGCCGGAGGGGGAAUCGAUCACGGAGGGCUUCUACAUCAACACCAUAGCCUCUCCGAUGAUGUGUGAGUAGUUUACCACAGACCUUCGGGUCCAUAGUUAUUAGCUAGAUGGCUUCUUCUCUCUCUUUCGAUCUCAAUACAAAGUUCUCCUUGAUCUUCUUGGAGAUCUAUUCGAUGUAAUUCUUUUUGCGGUGUGUUUGUCGAGAUCCGAUGAAUUGUGGGUUUAUGAUCAAGAUUAUCUAUGAAGAAUAUUUGAAUCUCCUCCGAAUUCUUUUAUGUAUGAUUUGUUAUCUUUGCAAGUCCCUUCGAAUUAUCAGUUUGGUUUGGCCUACUAGAUUGAUCUUUCUUGCAAUGGGAGAAGUGCUUAGCUUUGGAUUCAAUCUUGCGGUAUCCUUUCCCAGUGACAGCAGGGGCAGCAAGGCACGUAUUGUAUUGUUGCCAUUGAGGAUAAAAAGAUGGGGUUUAUAUCAUAUUGCUUGAGUUUAUCCCUCUGCAUCAUUUCAUCUUGCCUAAUGCGUUACUCUGUUCUUACGAACUUAAUACUCUAGAUGCAUGCUGGAUAGCGGUCGAUGUGUGGAGUAAUAGUAGUAGAUGUAGAAUCGUUUCGGUCUACUUGUCUCAGACGUGAUUCCUAUAUACAUGAUCAUGCCUAGAUAUUCUCAUAACUAUGCGCUUUUCUAUCAAUUGCUCGACAGUAAUUUGUUCACCCAUCGUAAUACUUAUGCUAUCUUGAGAGAAGCCACUAGUGAAACCUAUGGCCCCCGGGUCUAUUUUCCAUCAUAUAAGUUUCCAAUCUAUUUUAUUUUGCAAUCUUUACUUUUAAUCUAUAUCAUAAAAAUACCAAAAAUAUUUAUUUUAUUAUCUCUACCAGAUCUCACUUUUUCAAGUGGUCGUGAAGGGAUUGACAACCCCUUUAUCGCGUUGGUUGCAAGGUUCUUAUUUGUUUGUGUAGGUACGAGGCGACUUGCGUGUAGUCUCCUACUAGAUUGAUACCUUGGUUCUCAAAAACUGAGGGAAAUACUUACGCUACUUUGCUGCAUCACCCUUUCCUCUUCAAGGGAAAAUCAACGCAGUGCUCAAGAGGUAGUAAGAAGGAUUUCUGGCGCCGUUGCCGGGGAGAUCUACGCCAAGUCAAGUCAAGUCAAGACAUACCAAGUACCCAUCACAAACUCUUAUCCCUCGCAUUACAUUAUUCGCCAUUUGCCUCUCGUUUUCCUCUCCCCCACUUCUCCUUUGCCGUUUUAUUCGCUCUCUUUUUUCGUUCCCCUUUUUUCCGCUUGCUUCUUGUGUGCUUGUGUGUUGGAUUGUUUGUCACGAUGGCUCAAGGUAAUACUAAAUUGUGUGAUUUUUCCAAUACCAACAACAAUGAUUUUCUUAGCACUCCGAUUGCUCCUAUUACCGAUGUUGAAUCUUGUGAAAUUAAUGCUGCCUUGCUGAAUCUUGUCAUGAAAGAUCAAUUCUCUGGCCUUCCUAGUGAAGAUGCCGCUACACAUCUAAACAACUUUGUUGAUUUGUGUGAUAUGCAAAAGAAGAAAGAUGUGGAUAAUGAUAUUGUUAAAUUGAAGCUAUUUCCGUUUUCGCUUAGAGAUCAUGCUAAAACUUGGUUUUCGUCUUUGCCUAAAAAUAGUAUUGAUUCUUGGAAUAAGUGCAAAGAUGCUUUUAUCUCUAAGUAUUUUCCUCCCGCUAAGAUCAUCUCUCUUAGAAAUUAUAUUAUGAAUUUUGAGCAACUUCAUCAUGAACAUGUUGCACAAUCUUGGGAGAGGAUGAAAUUAACGAUUCGCAACUGCCCUACACAUGGUUUGAAUUUAUGGAUGAUUAUACAAAUUUUUUAUGCCGGAUUGAAUUUUGCUUCUAGAAAUCUUUUAGAUUCGGUCGCGGGAGGCACUUUUAUGGAAAUCACUUUAGGAGAAGCUACUAAACUCCUAGAUAAUAUUAUGGUUAAUUAUUCUCAAUGGCACACCGAAAGAUCUAUUAGUAAAAAGGUUCAUGCGAUAGAAGAGAUUAAUGUUUUGAGUUGAAAGAUGGAUGAACUUAUGAAAUUGUUUGCUAAUAAGAGUGCUUCUUCUGAUCCUAAUGAUAUGCCUUUGUUGGCUUUGAUUGAGAAUAAUAAUGAAUCUCUGGAUGUGAAUUUUGUCGGUAGGAACAAUUUUGGUAACAACGCUUAUAGAGGAAACUUUAAUCCUAGGCCGUUUCCUAGUAAUAAGAUGCCCUCUGAUUUUGAGACUAGUGUUGAAGAAUUUAUGAUUUCUCAAAAGAAUUUCAAUGCUUUGCUUGAAGAAAAAUUGCCUAAGAUUGAUGAGUUGGCUAGGAACGUGGAUAGAAUUUCUCUUGAUGUUGAUUCAUUGAAACUUAGAUCUAUUCCACCUAAGCAUGAUGUCAAUGAGUCUCUCAAAUCUAUGAGAAUUUCCAUUGAUGAGUGCAAGGAAAGAACCGCUAGGAUGCGUGCUAAGAAAGAUUGCUUUGCAAAAGCGUGUUCUUCUAGUUUUCAUGAUAAUAGGGAUGAAGAUCUAAAAGUGAUUGAUGUGUCUCCUACUAAAUCUUUGUUUUGCUUUAUGAAUCUUGAUAAUGUUGGGACUGAAGAUGAGUCAACUUUAGUUAAAAGGCGUCCCAAUGAUUCAGAGUUUUUAGAUCUAGAUGCAAAAUUGGUAAAAGUGGGAUUGAAGAGGUCAAAACUUUACAUAGCAAUGAACCCACUAUUUUGGAUUUCAAGGAAUUUAAUUACGAUAAUUGUUCUUUAAUAGGUUGUAUUUCCUUGUUUCAAUCCGUGUUAAAUUCUCCUCAUGCUUAUAGUCAAAAUAAAGCUUUUACCCAACAUAUCGUUGAUGCUUUAAUGCAAUCUUAUCAAGAAAAGCUUGAAUUAGAAGUCUCUAUCCCUAGAAAGCUUUAUGAUGAGUGGGAACCUACUAUUAAAAUUAAGAUUAAAGAUCAUGAAUGCUAUGCUUUGUGUGAUUUGGGUGCUAGUGUUUCCACGAUUCCAAAAACUUUGUGUGAUGUGUUAGGUUUCCGUGAAUUUGAUGAUUGUUCUUUAAACUUGCACCUUGCGGAUUCCACCAUUAAGAAACCUAUGGGAAGGAUUAUUGAUGUUCUUAUUUUUGCAAAUAGGAAUUAUGUGCCCAUAGAUUUCAUUGUUCUUGACAUAGAUUGCAAUCCUACAUGUCCUAUUAUUCUUGGUAGACCUUUUCUUAGAACGAUUGGUGCAAUUAUUGAUAUGAAAGAAGGAAAUAUUAGAUUCCAAUUUCCGUUAAGGAAAGGCAUGGAACACUUUCCUAGAAAUAAAAUUAAAUAACUUAUGAAUCUAUUAUGAGAGCCACUUACAGGUUGCAUACCAAAGAUGAUAAUACCUAGAUCUAUUCUUGCCUUUAUGCCUAGCUAGGGGCGUUAAACGAUAGCGCUUGUUGGGAGGCAACCCAAUUUUAUUUUAGUUUCUUGCUUUUUGGUUUUGUUUAGUAACAAAUAAUUCAUCUAGAUUCUGUUAAGAUGUGUUUUUAUGUUUUAAUUAGUGUUUGUGCCAAGUAGAACCUUUGGGAAGACUUGGGUGAAGUCUUUAUGAUCUUGCUGUAAAAAACAGAAACUUUAGCACUCACGAGAUUAGCUACAACUUUUUACUAGAGAGUGAUUUUAGGUUGAUUCUUUUUGCAGUUGAUUAAUAGACAAAUUCCUCACGUCCACCAAUUUAUUUAAUAAUUGUUGGAGUUCUAGAAGUAUACGUUUGAUCCAGAUUACUACAGACUGUUCUGUUUUUCGUGUGUUGUUUGCUUAUCUUGAUNNNNNNNNNNNNNNNNNNNNNNNNNNNNNNNNNNNNNNNNNNNNNNNNNNNNNNNNNNNNNNNNNNNNNNNNNNNNNNNNNNNNNNNNNNNNNNNNNNNNNNNNNNNNNNNNNNNNNNNNNNNNNNNNNNNNNNNNNNNNNNNNNNNNNNNNNNNNNNNNNNNNNNNNNNNNNNNNNNNNNNNNNNNNNNNNNNNNNNNNNNNNNNNNNNNNNNNNNNNNNNNNNNNNNNNNNNNNNNNNNNNNNNNNNNNNNNNNNNNNNNNNNNNNNNNNNNNNNNNNNNNNNNNNNNNNNNNNNNNNNNNNNNNNNNAUGAACCAUAGAGAAGUUGUAAUACAGUAGGUUUAACACCAAUAUAAAUAAAUAAUGAGUUCAUUACAGUACCUUAAAGUGGUGGUUUGUUUUCUUGCACUAACGGAGCUCAUGAGAUUUUCUGUUGAGUUUUGUGUUGUGAAGUUUUCAAGUUUUGGGUAAAGAUUUGAUGGAUUAUGGAAUAAGGAGUGGCAAGAGCCUAAUCUUGGGGAUGCCCAAGGCACCCCAAGGCACCCCAAGGUAAAAUUCAAGGACAACCAAAAUCCUAAGCUUGGGGAUGCCCCGGAAGGCAUCCCCUCUUUCGUCUUCAUCCAUCGGUAACUUUAGUUGAUGCUAUAUUUUUAUUCACCACAUGAUAUGUGUUUUGCUUGGAGCGUCUUGUAUGAUUUGAGUCUUUACUUUUUAGUUUACCACAAUCAUCCUUGAUGUACACACCUUUUGGGAGAGACACACAUGAAUCGGAAUUUAUUAGAAUACUCUAUGUGCUUCACUUAUAUCUUUUGAGCUAGAUAAUUUUGCUCUAGUGCUUCACUUAUAUCUUUUAGAGCACUGUGGUGGUUUUAUUUUAUAGAAAUUAUUGAUCUCUCAUGCUUCACUUAUAUUAUUUUGAGAGUCCUUUAGAACAUCAUGGUAGUUUGCUUUGGUUAUAAAAUUAGUCCUAAUAUGAUAGGCAUCCAAGAUCGGUAUAAUAAAAACUUUCAUAAAAGUGCAUUGAAUACUAUGAGAAGUUUGAUACUUGAUGAUUGUUUUGAGAUAUGAAGAUGGUAAUAUUAGAGUCGUGCUAGUUGGGUAGUUGUGAAUUUGAGAAAUACUUGUGUUGAAGUUUGCAAGUCCCGUAGCAUGCACGUAUGGUAAACGUUAUGUGACAAAUUUGAAACAUGAGGUGUUCUUUGAUUGUCAUCCUUAUGAGUGGCGGUCGGGGACGAGCGAUGGUCUUUUCCUACCAAUCUAUCCCCCUAGGAGCAUGCGCAUAGUGCUUGGUUUUUGAUGACUUGUAGAUUUUUGCAAUAAGUAUGUGAGUUCUUUAUGACUAAUGUUGAGUCCAUGGGUUAUACGCACUCUCACCUUUCCAUCAUUGCUAGCCUCUUCGGUACCGUGCAUUGCCCUUUCUCACCUUGAGAGUUGGUGCAAACUUCGCCGGUACAUCCAAACCCCGUGAUACGAUAUGCUCUAUCACACAUAAACCUCCUUAUAUCUUCCUCAAAACAGCCACCAUACCUACCUAUUAUGGCAUUUCCAUAGCCAUUCCGAGAUAUAUUGCCAUGCAACUUUCCACCGUUUCAUUUAUUAUGACACGCUUCGUCAUUGUCAUAUUGUCUUGCAUGAUCAUGUAGUUGACAUCGUAUAUGUGGCAAAGCCACCAUGCAUAAUUUAUCAUACAUGCCACUCUUGAUUCAUUGCCCAUCCCGGUACACCGCCGGAGGCAUUCGUAUAUAGUCAUAUUUUGUUCUAGUAUCGAGUUGUAAUCAUUGAGUUGUAAGUAAAUAGAAGUGUGAUGAUCAUAAUUAAUAGAGCAUUGUCCCAAAUAAAAAAAGAAGAAACAAAAGAACAAAGGCCAAAUAAAAAAAGAAAGGCCAAAAAAAAGAGAAAAGAAAUAAAAAGGGACAAUGCUACUAUCCUUUUUUUUCACACUUGUGCUUCAAAGUAGCACCAUGAUCUUUAUGAUAGAGAGUCUCUUGUUUUGUCACUUUCAUAUACUAGU
Molecule: long non-coding RNA, 69080 nt
Filed under: Triticum aestivum (bread wheat)
Lineage: Eukaryota; Viridiplantae; Streptophyta; Magnoliopsida; Poales; Poaceae
Description: long non-coding RNA (TAES_LNC017651)
Rfam family: MIR1120/MIR1122 microRNA precursor family (bases 18381-18472)
Source: RNAcentral